RNAcentral lists this long non-coding RNA (68801 nucleotides) under Hordeum vulgare. Its description in RNAcentral is "long non-coding RNA (HVUL_LNC009047)". The record is from RNAcentral. Lineage: Eukaryota; Viridiplantae; Streptophyta; Magnoliopsida; Poales; Poaceae.
CGCGGCAGCAGCCGGCGACGAGCGAUGACGACUGCCUGCGGUCGGAGCGCUCGCGAUGAUGGCCGCGCGGGCUCACCCAACAUACAAAACAAUCUCCAUUGCUUCCUUGCUUUCAACAGAGUUUCUCUUUCUUUUGAUCUCGGAAAGGUUUUCAUCUUGUUUUUUCUUUGGAUCGAUUUCUUUUUGUUCGUUUCUCUUGUGCUUGCUACUCCGUAUUUGUAUUCCUGAGCAAAUUAUAAUCGGUUUCUUGGGUUCUAACCAAGUUUUUUCUCAUAAGAUAUUUUUAUUAUCUUUUUUUUCUUGGUUCAGUGCAAUCCUUUUCUUGUUGGAGUGCAUAAAGUAUGCUUCUUUCUUGGAAGUAACUAUUACUGUAGAAAGUAAUCUGCUGUUAUGGAUGUUGAUUUCCUGAAAUUUGACAGAAUUCAGAUUAUUAUUCUGCAGGUUGAGCCUUCGGUUGCUGUCAUCGAAGCGGGAAGGUGGUGGUUUUCAUGCCCGAAGACGGAUGCCCGACGACUAUAGCUUUGUAAUACGGAUUUCGUUAGGAGAUGCGGGCUGUUGCUGUUCUUUCUUGGAUUCGUUGAUGAGUGUCAUCCAGAUUCAGUCUGUUAGUAGAGGAUUCUGGUGUAAUACUGUUAAUUGUAUUUGUAUAUCAGUCAAGGUUUAGGGUCAACUUACGAGUUGACAAGUCGUUUUGAGGUUCAGACUCGAAUUCUAAUCGUGACUAAUCAAACACUAGUCGACAUUAAAUUGUAGUCAGUCGGCCCUAGAGUUAGUACUCAUGGACUGUCUUAACUUAUAAUCCAUGGUCUCGGUGCUCCGUGAGAUGCCGUUGUGAUAUGAUCUGUGAGGUGGCUGUAUACUUAAAUCUCAGCUUAACAUUGUCAAAUACAGUAUGUAAUGUUAAUUAUCUGUUCAUUUACUCUGUUCAUUCCAUUUCAAUAUUUACUCAUGAUAUGGGCAAACGUUUUCAAGUUCUAUGUGUUGUGCUGAAUCAUGAAAUCUGCCUUGAUUAUUUCAAAGUUAUUCUGGAAAUCCGUCUCUAAUUAUUUGAAAAAUAUUCUUUCAGAAUGAACUGUGGCUGAAAUGGGUGGAUUUACAUAUUGAUAUGCGUCUAGAUACCUACGGUUUUGAACUGGUAUAGAAGAAGUCAUAUGUAGUGAAGCCUUUUGGUUUUGGCGUCGGAUUUCUCAGCCUUCUGAUUCGUUUUAUCUCAGCCCUUGAAAGAAGGUCAGCCUUCUGAUUCAUUUUAUCUCAGCUCUUGAAAGAAAGUCAACGCACACACGCCAUCCUUCCUUUGCUUUCAUCAUCCACCUUUGCUUUAGUUCCAUUGGAGCACCAGGAGCUGCCAACGAGAGCUCCAUUGGAGCAUCGAUCUGCUACAUUACAGCUUCAAGCCCGUCGAUGAGACCGGGAGCCGCAGCGAGAGCUCCACUGAAGCACCGAGCACAAAGAGCGUUGCAGCUUACACGACCACCGACGACAACGCAACAUUGGGAGCCCCCGGCAAGAGCUCCAUUUGCAGCCCGCAGCCGGCAAGCUUGACGAGGUAGCGCACUUUUUGUGUUGCGCUGAGAGCGCCGGCGAGCUCGAUUGGAGCACCGAGCGUUGCAUUGCAGCUUCGACAAACAUCGGCGAGCGCUGCAACGCAACACAAGGUGCAGCCGACGAGAACGCCAUUGUUGCACCGCGGCCAACGAGCUUCAUGGGUCACGGCGCCGCUUGUGCUUCACUGCAUCUCCGCCGUCGUUGUAUGAUCCACGGGGACGCAGCUCCCUCCGGCAAUGAGCGGUGCCCUCUUCCGGACUGCCUCUGUUGUGUUGCAGCACCGGCGACGAGCGGUGUCUGUUAGAGUUGUGUCAAAUAUUAUUAUACAAGGUAGUUUACAGUUGGAUUUGAAGUCGUACGGUGUGUAACAAGGUAGGAGCCGUUUUCUUUUAGUACACAUGUACCCUUAUGCCUCUUAUGCAAUGAGUGGGUAGACAUACCCACACACGAUGUAACCUAUGCCAACAUAAUAGCACGGGUAUGCAGGGGAGUCGGCGGCGUGUGCCGGCGCCAGGGCGGCCCGGGUGCGGUAUUGUGACGGUGUCACGGGGAGGAGCGCCCGUAGUCACGCCCCGUGAAUGUAGCCAUAUCGGUGAACCUCGUUAACAAAUCUCGGUGUCAUGCUCUCGUGAUUGCUUGGUCCUCGGUAGAUCGACGGAGAACCUCAGAUUAUUCUAACAAGUGGUGUCAUGAGCAAGGUUCGAUCUGAGGUUGUGGUGUUGAUAUAUAGGAAACAGUGAAAAGAUUCAUCGAAAUUGAUCAUGUAGAAGUACGUUGUGAAUCGGCGGCUGCGAGGAAGAUUGAUUAUCAGUGUGGUUCUAUUUGUGUUUCGAGAAGCAAUCAGAGGCAGCAGGUGGAGUCAUAAGCGGUGUGCAAGGACUCGAGGCUGUCUCAGCGAGAAGCGAUGGGCAACGGUGGCGGUAGCAGGGGCAGGCAAUCCUAGUCAGUGCAUGGGACGAGCAAACAUCGGCAGUUGGCGUCCACAAGAUCGUUGCUCGAUCGAAGCAGUGGCGGCAAUGCGGGCGAUCAACGGGAGCGCUAGGGCACGCACGCAUAAAGUCCUGAUCAGUUUACGUUUGGCAUGUAGCGUCGUUGGGUGGCGCACGACCCAAUAAGCGGCUGGGUUCUUCGAGGCCCAAGGCAUAGGGGCGACAGUCCAAGCAGAUUGUAGACCUGGUUCUGUGCGGGGAGCUGCUGAAUGUGAGAUUUUGAUAAAGGGAAAAGGCAUGAGAAAACACCAUGAUGUGUGCAUCGAUGAGGAGCAGGAAAGAGAGCAAAUCAAGUCUACAAUAGCUGGGUGGGGUGGACAGGAAAUUCUUUACACUGAAGAGGCUACAAGGGAUGUUGUUUUGACUUUUUUUUUGCUUUUUACAUGGGUUGUACUCCCUCCGUUUCUAAAUAUAAGUCUUUUUAGAGAUUUCAUUAAAAGACUACAUACGAAGCAAAAUGAAUGAAUCUAUAUUCUAACGUAUGUUUAUAUACAUCCGUAUGUAGUUUUCUAGUGAAAACUCUAAAAAGACUUAUAUUUAAAAACAGAGGGAGUACGUGAUGGCAGCAUGAAGGUGUCGAGACGCGGCGCGCAUGUUCAUAUAAGGUCAACAUGAGUUGGCGGGUGGAUCCAUGGUUAUUUUUUUGGGUCUGAUGGCUACAUGUUUUCUCAAGUAUUGCAUCAAGGAUGUGAUCUGUUUGUGCGAAGGGUUGUUUUUUUUCUGUAGCGGAGUGCCAGGUUGAUGAAGAUGGACGUGCGCGGCAAGGAUGCCGACGUGCGUAUAAGGCUCGAAGAAGUUUGGAGCAUGUCGUGGCAUGAUCAUGCAUACACAAGGGCGUUAAAGCAAUGACGAAGAUGUGUGAGGCAGACAUGACGCUAGGUGGAGCAUGGUUGCAGUCGGAUAAUGUCGGUUGGGUCGGACUGGACUGUCUGAUGGAUCGACGAGGAUGUCGGUCAAAGCAGAAGACGGUGGUGAUUUCAACAACGAUGACAUAGGAGCGUGAUGCUGAUGGUGACCGACAUCUAAAGUGUGAAAACACGUGGUGCAGGGCCGAGGGCUUGUGUGACUUCAACAAGACAAUGGCGCAGGGUUGACUCAAGGCAGUGCACACACGAGAGCUUGAAGUCGACAGGGCACGGGGUAGCAGGGGCCAGCUACAUGGAGUCAUGUUGAAGGAGGAGUUGGGGUUUGGUGAAAGACUUCACUAUGUGCUGGUGGAGGGGCUACGGUGUAAGACGUCAAAGAAUCGAGCCUAUUUCAGCAGGAUAGCGAGAGAAACGUGGAUCAGACUGGGUACUAGUGGUCUGAUAGAGACGUGAUACUCGACAUCGGUCGGUGAUGGUCGGUGGUUUUCUGCAGUGGGGGUCGAGUAGCGUGGGUUCGCGACCUUGGGAGACUUGGCUAGGACAACAGAGGCUCGCCCCGGUGAUAGCGGCGAGGCGUGCGGUAAGCACGGGACACAGCGACAGACCAAGGCACUAACAGUGAGACAUGUGGUCAUACAAAGUGUGUAGGGGUGCUGAAGCAGUGUUGACGAAUACCAGAUUCAAAUUGGUGACUGGGUUUAUCGAUGCUAGUUGAUAGACGGGGGUUGACCAUGAAGAAUCUAAGAAAGUGACGGAAAGUCUGAAAUCAUCAAAAGCAUAGAGAGUACAUGGCCGUAUAUUCUGUGGUGUUCAUUACACAUGGCAAAGUGCGGAUGACAAGUACAGAAGAAGGCGGACUGCUAUAGUUGUGGGACAUGUGAGAGACUAUCCGGGGAAAGGGUGAGAUAACUCCGAAUUUCACUCGGGGUGACACAUGAUGACUGUGAAAUUCCUUCAAGUUUCAGACGGACGGUCAAGGAAGAGAGAGGUUGUUGAGUUCAGGUAACUCUUAUAUGUGAAAUUCAAUAUGUGAGUUGUUCACUUUCACGUAGAUGAGUGAUCAUUGUGUGAUGGCGUUGAGCGGAUACUUCUGAAGUUGGGAGCACAAAGUAGAGUAAUGAAGAACUUAUUUUUUUCUCGAGUGUUGACUGUGAAGAAGACGAGAAGGAACUAAAGUUGAAGGUGGAGUCACAUAAAGUCUGGGAGUAGCAACGGUGCUCAUGGUAUAAUCUCAAGUCCAAUGUACAUGGAGGUUCGACGCAUGGAUGAAUCCAAGGUGGUGGAGAAUAUUCGCCAAUGUGAAGUUUGUUAGAGUUGUGUCGAAUAUUAUUGUACAAGGUAGGUUACAGUUAGACUUGGAGUUGUACGGUGUGUAGACAAGGUAUGAGUUGUGUCCUUUUAGGACACAUGUACCCUUAUGCCUCUUAUAUAAUGAAAGGUUAGACACACGAUGUAACUUACGCCAACAUAAUAGCACAGGUAUGUAGGGGAGUCGGCAGCGUGUACCGGUGCCCGGGCGGUCAGGGUGCGGUAUUGUGACGGUGUCACGGGGACGAGCGCUCGUAAUCAGGCUUCGCGGUGUCGUGCUCUCGUGAUUGCUUGAUCCUCGGUAGAUCGACGGGGAGCAUCGGAUUAUUCUAACUGCACCAGCCUCUAGCCUCCUCUUUUCGUGUUGCGGUGUGCUAGCCUCUGGUCCAUUCUCUCGCAUGUGUCACGAAAGGGGAAAAGGAGAAAAAAGAGUGGGGGAGAAUGUGCGGAGGCAAAGAGAUAAGAUUGGAUGGGACUGGUUGCGAGCGGUGUGUGGCCUAAAAACAUGUCGCAAGUUCCAAUUUUCCUUUAUACUGGACCGUUCUCGACUCGGGAUGCAGAAUACAUGGCAUAAAUUCACAUGAGGUUAAUCGUUUUGGUCACAACAACACGACGCAGAAUACACAACAUAAAUUCACAUGAGAUCAAUCGUGUUGGUCACAACAGCACAAAUAGCUAGUAUGGAUCCCACUUCUGUAAUUUACUAAAAGAUACUCCCUCCGUUUUUAAAUAUAAGUCUUUAAGAGAUUUCAUUAGGGUCUACAUACGGAACAAAAUGAGUGAAUCUACUCUAAAAUAUGUCUAUAUACAUCCGUAUGUAGUCCAUUAAUGAAACCUUUCGAAAGACUUAUAUUUAGGAACGGAGGGAGUACAUGUUACAAAAACAAUAAACACUUGGCUUGCUAACAUACAUUCAACUGGACAGAUAAAGUUUGAGCUAUCUGCUCUUGCUGCAAGGUAUAACCAACACUCAACCUUUCUAAUUUACAAUGUUCCUCAAAGGGAAAAUGCAACUGAUGUGCCAGGGUUAGUGAAUGCUAUGUUAGAUUUAGCCUAGAAGCAAGAUACAUACACGCCUUUUCCUGUUUAUUUGAUUCCUCUUUCAGAUACUGAAAAUCCUCUAAACAUAUGUGCCUUCAUCCCAAUCGAAGGCACCUUCACUAGCCACUGCUUGCCCUAUCAUCUGGAGCACAUCAUCAAAUACAUACACCUCCCUCCUGUCUAUUUGCUUCCUCUUUCAGAUCUUGAAGAUCUUCUAUACCUAUGUGCCUUCAGUCGGAUCGAAGGCACCUUCCUAGCCAAUGCUUGCCAGAUCAUCUGGACCGCAUCAUCCUUAUGAGAUGGGAACUGGUACUCAAAAUGUUUAUCCACUUCUUUGAGCCUCUUCCACAUCCUUGUCCAUCGAUGCUUGUUUAUGCCUUUAAUUAGUCUCAUCAAGUAACCCUUUUUAAUAGCAUCAGACGAACGAACAAAGAUGGAGAACUUUGAAUAAUCUAGGAUAUCCUCGUAAGGGAGCUCAAUGUCGUCGCUUAUGAUAACAGGGACACAGUGGCUUACUAUGGCGUCAAAGAGACGAUUGGAAGAAGGGGUAUCCCCAGCAAUGUUUAGGCAAAACUUUGAUGAGUGCAUUCCCUGGCUGGCUUUGCUGACACCAUGGUCCUGGACACUUCCAAAGGAAAAGAAAACAUCCUUCUCGUCUUUGAGCAUAUUAUAUAGUUCCUGCCGAAUGUUUCCUCCCUGUAAAAGAAAAUAUGAUUGUGAUAUAUUAUAGCACCAAACACAUACAGACAUAAUGGGGUUUAAACCUGCAACAUGAUAUUCAUAUUUCUACAAUAUAUUUCAUAUAUCUACCCGCGAUCAAAGAGAUACACGAGUUGUGUUCCGAUUCAUGCAUAAGGCUGAACAUUUUCUGAGUACAUUUAAUUCAUCUCAACCAAGGUGAGGGGAACCACCAUGAUGGUGUUAAGUUUUAGAUGGCACCAAGUUAUCCAAUUUAUCUCAUCGUGUGUUCAGAAGCACUAUCUGGUGCAUAAUGUACAUGGUUUAAUAAUACUAUUUGCUACCAUCAACCACAACUCAAAUUAUGGCAAGUUUGUAGUAGCACUAUAGCAGUAACUUGUGCAGUUAAAACUGAAAACACAUCAAAGCUGGCAUUCAGAAAUCUUACGCUCUGAGCUAAGAAUACCUAAUGAUUGAUCCACAAUCAUAUAACCAAGUCUUAAACUAAUGAUUCAAUUACGACAAUUUAACAAAUUCUGAAUUAUGUCUCUCAAUACAGAUCUCAUCAAUUCUGUUCAUCAGCUAAACCUAAUUGGCCAAAUACCAGCAGGCUUCUGCGAGAAUUUAAGCAGUGCCAUGACAGUAUGUCACGAUUGGCGUCUCAUAGUCAUAGAUUGUACAUAAUUUAAGUUUUCAGUGUGCGGAACCGGAUUAGUAAGCACAAUUAUUACCUCCUUCCUGUAAAUGGCUCCCCGGAAGUAUAACAAUGUUGGCCGAUCAUCAAACCCGGCCGUGUCAUUCACAAAUGUCUUCGCCAUAUGUCGAUAGGGCGCAAUGAGAUCCUUCUCCAAGCUGGCAACCCUGGGGUGGUACCUCCCAAAGUCAGACAGCACGAACACUGCUGGGAACAGCGCCGACCGGGCGUGGAGCAAGCUGUUGGGGUGGUGCGCGACGACGACAUGGUCGGUACCCCCGGACCUCUUCCAUUCCGGCUGCGCCACCAGAAACCUGACGAGCUUCUCCUGUAGGUACAUGUCUCUGCUUACCUUCUCUGGCGGCACGGCCUUGGAGUGGCGGUUGUAGCUGAGUGAUGCGAAGAAGGGGACGAAGAUCACGUCCGCAUCACGAGAGUCGGCAACCCUCACCGCCGGACCACACGGUGCCCCUGACGAGGAUGCCAGGAGGUCCAGCGUGAGCCAGUACUCCACGCUGUGCUGCUGGUUGAGCCCACCGGGGUAGCGCGGGACUGCGCCGCCCCUAACGUCAGGCCAGACGCCGCCGCCGUCCCCGGGGGGUGGCGCCCAGCCGAGCAGCCCGAAGUGGAACUCCAGCGGCAUGUCGUAAACGAACACCCUGACAGCGGCGUUGCGGGGGUCGCAUCUCCCAGGUCCAGCAGCAGCCGCCGAGCCGGAGCCGGGGUCGUCGGGGCGGCCAUUCUCGUCAAGAAAGGAGAGCUCUUGACCCUUAGCAGCGGAUGUUACACGCACACGGACAGGGAUGGCCGAGAAGUCGGCGGGGGUUGCCGGGACGGGGAGGCCGGUGUCUGCUGGGCGCCAGCGGCUGGCGCCGGCGGCGGCGAAGAGGAAGAUCGUGGAGGCGACUAGGACGGUGGCCGCCGCCAGCGGCAGGAGGAGAGCGCGAGCACGGGGCGGCGCCAUGGAGCGCGAGGCUCAUGGCCGGAGUGGUGCACGGGGGAGCAUCGCGAAUCGUCGAUCUGGUGGAUUGGAAGGAAGGGGAAGCAAAGGUUGGGUUUUUCCGUGUGGUCGGAGUUUGGUUGGUUCUGGGUGGGUUAGCUGGCUGGUGUGUGCUUUCCGGACUGGGCCUUGAAAAUGACGUGAGCAUGCGCUGCUGGACUGGACUCUCCAGUAGAUGAAGCAGCUAGUUUCAUUUUUUUCUUGAGGUAAUAGCACUAGGAUCCUACAACUUGCAUACAAUGUGAUGGUUUGAUCCUAAAACUUGUAAAGUGACCCUAUUUGAUCCUACAACUUGUUUCUCUUGUGAAGUUUUAGUCCACAACGAAUCACAGCGCGCAGAGUGGGCAGGGUUGGUGGUUUUGCAAAGUGGCCCUUCCAUUUGUCAUUUAUUAAUCAACACGUUAGUGAAGUUCUGCAUUUGCCUACCUUUUUCUCAUUGCUUCAUGCCAUUAGUAAAUUUUGCACCUUGCAGUUAGCUCUUCAUAGCUGCAGAAUCGGAGAGAGUUCCGUCCAAAAGUUUGCAAAUUUUAUAUUGUGUCAUGGUUAUAUUUUGCCUCUGUUCUAUGUUCUCUUUUCUGCUUGUCAUCUUGUUUACAGAAUCUUUGCAAGUGCUUCCUUGUGUUGGCGUUGUUGUGCUUUGGUUGUCAGACUGCCGCUGUUUAUGAUUUGGUAACAGCUUUCCUUGUCGUUGCCCCUCGUAUUUUCUGUUGUUUCCAUACAGGUUAAUCAGGAGUGCAUAUACAAAGAAGAGUACUGUUUUCAUUGUAAGACAAAUUUAAAGACCAAUUGCAGGUCUUAGCAAAAGCAGAGCCUAAGCGAUCAGACCAAUGACUGUUGUAGAUAUUUUUUUAGAAAUAUGAUAGACAUAUUGUCCUGAGGGUUUAUGAUAUCAGCUAUUGCUAUAUCUUUAUAGGCUACUUUCAAACUGAAAUCGAGAUUGUUACCUGCAGAUACUAAUUGCCAUCUGUAACCCAGUUUGAGAAGUAGAGAUCAUUUCACGUGCAGAUAUCGAUCCCAACUUAUUUUGAACAUUUGAUUAGUUGAGUUGGGAGGUAGCCAUGUGCCAGUUAUGUCUGAUUAACUGUGCGUUCGACUUAUGUAAUCAUCUCUGAUCCCUGCUUUCGAUGUCUGAAUCCCUGUGUUCCACCACAGUUGUGACGACGACCGUCAGGCGUCACUGGCCAAUGAAGUUCUGCACAUUAUCAAUGGUGCUCUGUUAUGGCGAUGCGGGUCUUGGCAGGAAAUUUCCUUGCAGCUCUUUGAUACUGUUUGCUCUAUGCAUUCUUGUUCUUUUGGUUUAUGCUUCCCUGUUGUCGAAGCUGCAAUAUGUAGACUUGAAAGCUUUGCAACAAAAAUUUCCAUAUAUUUGAAUGAUGUUAGUUUAAUAUUCGAUGAUGAACGUGAUGCUGCUAUUGUUGUUGUGAAUUUGGAUUACUACAUGGCCAAGGCAUCUAUUUCGGUUCCGUUAGUCAAGUCAAAUUUAAUGAGCAAUUGGAGGUCUUAGCAAAAGCAGAGCCUAAGCGAUCAGACCAAAGGAGGAAGGAGGAUUUGGAAGGUAGGAAAUCAUAGCAACCAGCAAGAAAAAAUAUGUCUUAGUUUUUCAUGGCCUGUCUAACUACCUUGAAAUUGUCAUAUGUCACUGGCAAAUUAAACUGUGCACAUUAUCAAUGGUGCUCUGUUUUGAUAGGUGAGGAGACGAUAAAGUAUACAUGCACGCACGCAUCAAAUGAGACGAAAUAUUUCAAGACUGCUGUCUGCUUUAAGAUGCACUGAUCGGUACUGUUCAUGGAGCCCGACGGUUCGCAGAGGGACGAGGUGUGGAAGAUCAAGCCUUACCCGCGGAAAGGCGACGAGUUUUGCCUCAGCCACAUCACGGAGUUGACGGUGAAGUCGAGCAAGGUGGCCGCCGAGUGCACCAGGUACCACGACGUGCCCCUGGUGAUCUUCUCGCUCACCGGCUACACGGGGAACCUCUUCCACGACUUCACCGACGUGAUCGUGCCGCUCUUCACCACGGCCAGCCAGUUCAACGAUGAGGUCCAGUUCCUCAUCACGGACAUGGCGCUCUGGUGGACCAUCAAGUACCACACCCUGCUCCAGAAGCUGUCCAAGUACCCCUUGAUCGACUUCAGCAAGGACGACCAGGUGCACUGCUUCAACUACACCAUAGUCGGCACGCACGCCUACAUGGAGUUCACCAUCGAUGCCUCCAAGUCACCGCACAACGUCACCAUGGUCGAUUUCAACCGGUUCAUGUGCGCCGCCUACUCGCCGCCCAAGGAAACCGCGGUGGCGCUCGGGGAGAGCCCCAAGGUCAAGCCCAGGCUGCUCAUCAUCAAGAGGCACCGCACCAAGAUGUUCCUCAACCUGGAGGAGAUCAUCGCCAUGACUGAGGAGCUUUAAUUAAUUCAGGUGCUAUUUGAAACGGCCUGGGUGUUGAUUAAUAAGUGAUAAAUGGAAGGGCCACUUUGCAAAACCACCAACCCUGCCCCCACUCUGUCCACUUGGCGCGAUGUGAUUUGCUGUGGACUAAAACUGCACAAGAGAAGCAAGUUGUAGGAUCAAAUAGGGUCACUUUGCAAGUUUUGGGAUCAAACCAUCACAUUGUGUGCAAGUUGUAGGAUCCCUGUGUUGGGGAAUGUCGCAUGGGAAACAAAAAAAUUCCUGCGCACACGAAGUCCUAUCAUGGUGAUGUCAAUCUACGAGAGGGGAUUUCCGAUCUACGUACCCUUGUAGAUCGCACAGCAGAAGCGUUAAGAAGCGCGGUUGAUGUAGUGGAACGUCCUCACGUCCCUCGAUCCGCCCCGCGAACCGUCCCAUGAACCGUCCCGCGAUCCGUCCCACGAUCCGCUCCGAUCUAGUGCCGAACGGACGGCACCUCCGCGUUCAGCACACGUACAGCUCGACGAUGAUCUCGGCCUUCUUGAUCCAGCAAGAGAGACGGAGAGGUAGAUGAGUUCUCCGGCAGCGUGAUGGUGCUCCGGAGGUUGGUGGUGAUCUAAUCUCAGCAGGGCUCCGCCCGAGCUCCGUAGAAACGCGAUCUAGAGGUAAAACCAUGGAUGUAUGUGGUCGGGCUGCCGUGGCAAAAGUUUUCUCAAAUCAGCCCUAAUAACUCCAUAUAUAUAGGAGGAGGGGAGGGGAGGCUUGCCUUGAGGCUCAAGGAGCCCCAAGGGCUGCGCCACCAAGGGGAGGAGGAGUCCUCCUCCAAUCCUAGUCCAACUAGGAUUGGAAGGUGGAGUCCUUCUCUUCCUUCCCACCUCCUUUUUUUUNNNNNNNNNNNNNNNNNNNNNNNNNNNNNNNNNNNNNNNNNNNNNNNNNNNNNNNNNNNNNNNNNNNNNNNNNNNNNNNNNNNNNNNNNNNNNNNNNNNNNNNNNNNNNNNNNNNNNNNNNNNNNNNNNNNNNNNNNNNNNNNNNNNNNNNNNNNNNNNNNNNNNNNNNNNNNNNNNNNNNNNNNNNNNNNNNNNNNNNNNNNNNNNNNNNNNNNNNNNNNNNNNNNNNNNNNNNNNNNNNNNNNNNNNNNNNNNNNNNNNNNUCCCACCUCCUUUUUUUUGUCUUUUCUCUUUGAUUUUCUAUCUAUGGCGCAUAGGGCCUUCUUGGGCUGUCCCACCAGCCCACCAAGGGCUGGUGCGCCACCCCCAAGGCCUAUGGGCUUCCCCGGGGUGGGCUGCCCCCCGGUGAACAUCCGGAACCUAUUCGUCAUUCCCGAUACAUUCCCGGUAACUCCGGAAACCUUCCGGUAAUCAAAUGAGGUCAUCCUAUAUAUCAAUCUUCGUUUCCGGACCAUUCCGGAAACCCUCGUGACGUCCGUGAUCUCAUCCGGGACUCUGAACAACAUUCGGUAACCAACCAUAUAACUCAAAUAUGCAUAAAACAACGUCGAACCUUAAGUGUGCAGACCCUGCGGGUUCGAGAACUAUGUAGACAUGACGCGAGUGACUCCUUGGUCAAUAUCCAAUAGCGGGACCUGGAUGCCCAUAUUGGAUCCUACAUAUUCUACGAAGAUAUUAUCAUUUGAACCUCAGUGCCAAGGAUUCAUAUAAUCCCGUAUGUCAUUCCCUUUGUCCUUGGGUAUGUUACUUGCCCGAGAUUCGAUCGUCAGUAUCCGCAUACCUAUUUCAAUCUCGUUUACCGGCAAGUCUCUUUACUCGUUCCGUAAUACAAGAUCCCGCAACUUACACUAAGUCACAUUGCUUGCAAGGCUUGUGUGUGAUGUCGUAUUACCGAGUGGGCCCCGAGAUACCUCUCCGUCAUACGGAGUGACAAAUCCCAGUCUUGAUCCAUACUAACUCAACGAACACCUUCGGAGAUACCAGUAGAGCAUCUUUAUAGUCACCCAGUUAUGUUGCAACGUUUGAUACACAUAAAGCAUUCCUUCGGUGUCAGUGAGUUAUAUGAUCUCAUGGUCAUAGGAACAAAUACUUGACACGCAGAAAACAGUAGCAACAAAAUGACACGAUCAACAUGGUACGUCUAUUAGUUUGGGUCUAGUCCAUCACAUGAUUCUCCUAAUGAUGUGAUCCCGUUAUCAAGUAACAACACUUGCCUAUGGCUAGGAAACCUUGACCAUCUUUGAUCAACGAGCUAGUNNNNNNNNNNNNNNNNNNNNNNNNNNNNNNNNNNNNNNNNNNNNNNNNNNNNNNNNNNNNNNNNNNNNNNNNNNNNNNNNNNNNNNNNNNNNNNNNNNNNNNNNNNNNNNNNNNNNNNNNNNNNNNNNNNNNNNNNNNNNNNNNNNNNNNNNNNNNNNNNNNNNNNNNNNNNNNNNNNNNNNNNNNNNNNNNNNNNNNNNNNNNNNNNNNNNNNNNNNNNNNNNNNNNNNNNNNNNNNNNNNNNNNNNNNNNNNNNNNNNNNNNNNNNNNNNNNNNNNNNNNNNNNNNNNNNNNNNNNNNNNNNNNNNNNNNNNNNNNNNNNNNNNNNNNNNNNNNNNNNNNNNNNNNNNNNNNNNNNNNNNNNNNNNNNNNNNNNNNNNNNNNNNNNUUGAUCAACGAGCUAGUCAACUAGAGGCUUACUAGGGACAGUGUUUUGUCUAUGUAUCCACACAAGUAUUGUGUUUCCAAUCAAUACAAUUAUAGCAUGGAUAAUAAACGAUUAUCAUGAANCGAUUAUCAUGAACAAAGAAAUAUAAUAAUAACUAAUUAUUAUUGCCUCUAGGGCAUAUUUCCAAUAGUCUCCCACUUGCACUAGAGUCAUUAAUCUAGUUCACAUCACCAUGUGAUUUCAACGAAUCCAACACCCAUAUAGUUCUGGGGUCUGAUCACGUCUUGCUCGUGAGAGAGGUUUUAGUCAAUGGUUCUGAAACUUUCAGAUCCGUGCGUUCUUUACAAAUCUUUAUGUCAUCUUAUAGAUGUUGCUACUACGUGCUAUUCAGAAAUGCUCCAAAUAUCUACUCUACUAUACGAAUCCGUUUCACUACUCAUAGUUAUUCAGAUUAGUGUCAAAGCUUGCAUCAACAUAACCCUUUACGACGAACUCUUUAACCACCUCCAUAAUCGAGAAAAAUUCCUUAGUCUAUUUAGUUACUAAGGAUAACUUUGACCGUUGAUCAGUGAUUCAAUCCUGGAUCACUCUGUGUACCUCUUAACAGACUUGCUGCAAGGCACACAUCAGGUGCGGUACUCAGCAUGGCAUACUUUAGAGUCUACGGCUAAGGCAUAGAAGACGACCUUCAUCUAUUCUCUUUAUUCUGCCGUGGUCGGGUUUUGAGUCUUACUCAAAUUCACACCUUACAACGCAACCAAGAACUCCUUCUUUGCUGAUCUAUUUUGAACUCCUUCAAAAACUUGUCAAGGCAUGCAUCUUGUUGAAACUUCCAUUAAAUGCUUUUGAUCUAUCUCCAUAGAUCUUUGAUGCUCAACGUUCAAGUAGCGCAAUCCAGGUACUCCUUUGAAAACUCCUUUCAAACAACCUUGUAUGCUUUACAGAAAUUCUACAUUACUUCUGAUCCACAAUAUGUCAACCACAUAUACUUAUCAGAAAUUCUAUAGUGCUCCCACUCACUUCUUUGGAAAUACAAGUUUCUCAUAAACCNNNNNNNNNNNNNNNNNNNNNNNNNNNNNNNNNNNNNNNNNNNNNNNNNNNNNNNNNNNNNNNNNNNNNNNNNNNNNNNNNNNNNNNNNNNNNNNNNNNNNNNNNNNNNNNNNNNNNNNNNNNNNNNNNNNNNNNNNNNNNNNNNNNNNNNNNNNNNNNNNNNNNNNNNNNNNNNNNNNNNNNNNNNNNNNNNNNNNNNNNNNNNNNNNNNNNNNNNNNNNNNNNNNNNNNNNNNNNNNNNNNNNNNNNNNNNNNNNNNNNNNNNNNNNNNNNNNNNNNNNNNNNNNNNNNNNNNNNNNNNNNNNNNNNNNNNNNNNNNNNNNNNNNNNNNNNNNNNNNNNNNNNNNNACAAGUUUCUCAUAAACCCUGUACAAACCCAAAAUCUUUUAUCAUCUCAUCAAAGUGUAUAUCCAACUCCGAGAUGCUUGCACCAGUCCAUUGAAGGAUUGCUGGAGCUUGCAUACUUGCUAGUAUCUUUAGGAUCGACAAAACCUUCUGGUUGUAUCACAUACAAUGUUUGGUCAAGGAAACCGUCGAGGAAACAAUGUUUUUGACAUCCUAUGUGCAAUAUUUCAAAAAUAAUGCAACAACUACUAACAUAAUUCUAACAGACUUUUAGCAUCGCUACGAGUGAUAAAGUCUCACCAUAGUCAACUAUUUGAUCAUGUCGGAAACAUCUUUGCGACAAGUCAAGCUUUUCUUAAUAGUGAAUUAUCACCAUCAUUGUCUGUCUUCCUUUUAAAGAUCCAUCUUUACUCAAUAGUCCUACGACCAUCAAGUAGUUCUUCCAAAGUCUACACUUUGUUUUCAUACAUGGAUCCUCUCUCGGAUUUCAUGGCCUCCAGCCAUUUGUCGGAAUCCGGGCCCACCAUUGCUUUCUCCAUAACUCGUAGGUUCACUGUUGCUCAACAACAUGACCUCCAAGACAGGGUUACCGUACCACUCUGCAGUAGUACGCGACCUUGUCAACCUACGAGGUUUGUAGUAACUUGAUCCGAUGCUCGAUGAUCACCAUCAUCAGCUUUCACUUCAAUUGGUGUAGGCGCCACAGGAACAACUUCCUGCGCCCUGCCACACACUGGUUGAAGUGAUGGUUCAAUAACCUCAUCAAUUUCUACCACCCUCCCACUCAAUUCUUUCGAGAGAAACCUUUCCUCGAGAAAGGAUCCGUUUCUAGAAACAAACACUUUGCUUUCGGAUCUGAGAUAGGAGAUGUACCCAACUGUUUUGGAUAUCCUAUGAAGAUGCAUUUAUCCGCUUUGGGUUCGAGCUUAUCAGACUGAAACUUUUUCACAUAAGUGUCGAAGCCUGAAACUUUCAAGAAACGACAGUUUAGAUUUCUCUAAACCUCAGUCUAUACUAUGUCAUCUCAACGGAAAUACGCGGUGCCCUAUUUAAAGUGAAUGUGGUUGUCUCUAAUGCAUAACCCAUAAACGAUAGUGGUAAUUUGAUAAGAGACAUCAUAGCAUGCACCAUACCAAAUAAUGCGUGGCUAUGACGUUCAGACACAUCAUCACACUAUGAUGUUCGAGGUGGCAUCAACUGCGAAACAAUUUCCACAUUGUCUUAACUGCGUACCAAGACUCGUAACUCAGAUAUUCAUUUCUAUGAUCAUAUCGUAGACAGUUUAUCCUCUUGUUACGACGAACUUCACUGCGAAACAGAAUUGAACUUUUCAAUAUUUCAGACUUGUGAUUCAUUAAGUAAAUACUCUUGUAUCUACUUAAAUCGUCAUUGAAGUAAGAACAUAAUGAUAUCCACUGCGUGCCUCAACACUCAUUGGACUUCAUACAUCAAAAUGUAUCACUUCCAACAAGUUACUAUCUUGUUUCAUCUCAAUGAAAACAAGGCCUUGCUCAUGGGGUAUGAUUUGCAUGUCACUAGUGAUUCAAAAUCAAGUGAGUAUAAAGAUCCAUCAGCAUGGAGCCUCUUCAUGCAAUUUAUACCAACAUGACUCAAGCGGCAGUGCCACAAGUAAGUGGUACUAUCAUCAUUACCUCGUAUCUUUUGGCACCAAUAUCAUGAACAUGUGUAACACUACGAUCGAGAUUCAAUAAACCAUUGAAGGUGAUUAUUCAAGCAAAUAGAGUAACCAUUAUUCUUUUAAAUGAAUAAUCGUAUUGCAAUAAACACGAUCCAAUCAUGUUCAUGCUUAACGCAAGCACCAAAUAACAAUUAUUUUGGUUUAACACCAAUCCCGAUGGUAGAGGGAGCGUGCGACGUUUUGAUCAUAUCAACCUUGGAAACACUUCCAACACGUAUCGUCACCUCGCCUUUAGCUAGUCUCCGUUUAUGCCGUAGCUAUCAUUUCGUGUUACUAAUCACUUAGCAACCGAACCGGUAUCCAAUACCCUUGUGCUACUAGGAGUACUAGUAAAGUACACAUCAACAUCAUGUAUAUCAAAUAUACUUCUUUCGACUUUUUCCAACCUUCUUAUCUACCAAGUAUCUAGAGUUGAUCCGCCUCAGUGACUGUUCCCCUCAUUACAGAAGCACUUAGUCUCGGGUUUGGGUUUAAUCUUGGGUCUCUUCAUUAGUGCAGCAAUUGUUUUGCCGUUUCAGGAAGUAUCCCUUCUAGCCCUUGCCUUUCUUGAAACUUAGUGGUUUUACUAACCAUCAACUAUUGAUGCUCCUUCUUGAUUUCUACUUUCGUAGUGUCAAACAUCGCCAAUCGCUCAAGGAUCAUUGUAUCUAUCCUUGAUAUGUUAUAGUUCAUCACGAAGCUCUCACAGCUUGGUGGCAGUGACUUUGGAGAACCAUCACUAUCUCAUCUGGAAGAUUAACUCCCACUUGAUUCAAGCGAUUGUCGUACUCAGACAAUCUGAGCACAUGCUCAACGAUUGAGCUUUUCUCCUUUACUUUGUGGACAAAGAAUCUUGUCGGAGGUCUCGUACCUCUUAACAAGGGCACAAGCAUGAAAUCAUAAUUUCAUCUCUUUAGAACAUCACUUAUGUUCCGUGACGUUUCAAAACGUCUUCGGCGCCUUGCUUCUAAGCCAUUAAGUAUUUUGCACUGAACUAUCGUGUAGUCAUCAGAAACGUGUAUGUCGGAUGUUCACAGCAUCCACAGACGACGCUCGAGGUGCAACACACCGAGUGGUGCAUUAAGGACAUAAGCCUUCUGCGCAGCAACGAGGACAAUCCUCUGCAAAGUUUGCUACUAUCAACUUUCAACUAAAUUUUCUCUAGGAACAUAUAAAAACAGUAGAGCUAUAGCGCAAGCUACAUCGUAAUUUGUAAAGACCAUUAGACUAUGUUCAUGACAAUUAGUUCAAUUAAUCAUAUUACUUAAGAACUCCCACUCAAAAAUUACAUCUCUCUAGUCAUUUGAGUGGUACAUGAUCCAAAUCCACUAUCUCAAGUCCGAUCAUCACGUGAGUCGAGAAUAGUUUCAGUGGUAAGCAUCUCUAUGCUAAUCAUAUCAACUAUACGAUUCAUGCUCGACCUUUCGGUCUCAUGUGUUCCAAGGCCAUGUCUGCACAUGCUAGGCUCGUCAAGCUUAACCCGAGUGUUUCGCGUGUGCAACUGUUUUGCACCCGUUGUAUGUGAACGUUGAGUCUAUCACACCCGAUCAUCACGUGGUGUCUCGAAACGAAGAACUGUCGCAACGGUGCACAGUCGAGGAGAACACAAUUUCGUCUUGAAAUUUUAGUGAGAGACCACCUUAUAAUGCUACCGUCGUUCUAAGCAAGAUAAGGUGCAUAAAGGAUUAACAUCACAUGCAAUUCAUAAGUGACAUGAUAUGGCCAUCAUCAUGUGCUUCUUGAUCUCCAUCACCAAAGCAUCGGCACGAUCUUCUUGUCACCGGCGUCACACCAUGAUCUCCAUCAUUAUGAUCUCCAUCAACGUGUCGCCAUCGGGGUUGUCGUGCUACUCAUGCUAUUACUACUAAAGCUACGUCCUAGCAAUAUAGUAAACGCAUCUGCAAGCACAAACGUUAGUUUAAAGACAACCCUAUGGCNUUGUUGUUGCAUGUUUUACGUGGUGACCAUGGGUAUCUAGUAGGAUCGCAUCUUACUUACGCAAACACCACAACGGAGAUAUAUGAAUUGCUAUUUAACCUCAUCCAAGGACCUCCUCGGUCAAAUCCGAUUCAACUAAAGUUGGAGAAACCGACACUUGCCAGUCAUCUUUGAGCAACGGAGUUACUCGUAGCGAUGAAACCAGUCUCUCGUAAGCGUACGAGUAAUGUCGGUCCAAGCCGCUUCAAUCCAACAAUACCGCGGAAUCAAGAAAAGACUAAGGAGGGCAGCAAGACGCACAUCAUCGCCCACAAAAACUUUUGUGUUCUACUCGAGGUUACAUCUACGCAUGAACCUAGCUCAUGAUGCCACUGUUGGGGAACGUCGCAUGGGAAACAAAAAUUUUCCUACGCGCACGAAGUCCUAUCAUGGUGAUGUCAAUCUACGAGAGGGGAUUUCCGAUCUACGUACCCUUGUAGAUCGCACAGCAGAAGCGUUAAGAAACGCGGUUGAUGUAGUGGAACGUCCUCACGUCCCUCGAUCCGCCCCGCGAACCGUCCCACGAACCGUCCCGCGAUCCGUCCCACGAUCCGCUCCGAUCUAGUGCCGAACGGACGGCACCUCCGCGUUGAGCACACGUACAGCUCGACGAUGAUCUCGGCCUUCUUGAUCCAGCAAGAGAGACGGAGAGGUAGAUGAGUUCUCCGGCAGCGUGACGGCGCUCCGGAGGUUGGUGGUGAUCUAAUCUCAGCAGGGCUCCGCCCGAGCUCCGUAGAAACGCUAUCUAGAGGUAAAACCGUGGAGGUAUGUGGUCGGGCUGCCGUGGUAAAAGUUGUCUCAAAUCAGCCCUAAUAGCUCCAUAUAUAUAGGAGGAGGGGAGGGGAGGCUUGCCUUGAGGCUCAAGGAGCCCCAAGGGCUGCGCCACCAAGGGGAGGAGGAGUCCUCCUCCAAUCCUAGUCCAACUAGGAUUGGAAGGUGGAGUCCUUCUCUUCCUUCCCACCUCCUUUUUUUUCUUUUCUCUUUCAUUUUCUAUCUAUGGCGCAUAGGGCCUUCUUGGGCUGUCCCACCAGCCCACCAAGGGCUGGUGCGCCACCCCAAGGCCUAUGGGCUUCCCCGGGGUGGGCUGCCCCCCCGGUGAACAUCCGGAACCCAUUCGUCAUUCCCGGUACAUUCUCGGUAACUCCGAAAACCUUCUGGUAAUCAAAUGAGGUCAUCCUAUAUAUCAAUCUUCGUUUCCGGACCAUUCCGGAAACCGUCGUGACGUACGUGAUCUCAUCCGGGACUCCGAACAACAUUCGGUAACCAACCAUAUAACUCAAAUAUGCAAAAAACAACGUCGAACCUUAAGUGUGCAGACCCUGCGGGUUCGAGAACUAUGUAGACAUGACCCGAGUGACUCCUUGGUCAAUAUCCAAUAGCGGGACCUGGAUUCCCAUAUUGGAUCCUACAUAUUCUACGAAGAUCUUAUCGUUUGAACCUCAGUGCCAAGGAUUCAUAUAAUCCCGUAUGUCAUUCCCUUUGUCCUUCGGUAUGUUACUUGCCCGAGAUUCGAUCGUCAGUAUCCGCAUACCUAUUUCGAUCUCGUUUACCGGCAAGUCUGUUUACCCGUUCCGUAAUANNNNNNNNNNNNNNNNNNNNNNNNNNNNNNNNNNNNNNNNNNNNNNNNNNNNNNNNNNNNNNNNNNNNNNNNNNNNNNNNNNNNNNNNNNNNNNNNNNNNNNNNNNNNNNNNNNNNNNNNNNNNNNNNNNNNNNNNNNNNNNNNNNNNNNNNNNNNNNNNNNNNNNNNNNNNNNNNNNNNNNNNNNNNNNNNNNNNNNNNNNNNNNNNNNNNNNNNNNNNNNNNNNNNNNNNNNNNNNNNNNNNNNNNNNNNNNNNNNNNNNNNNNNNNNNNNNNNNNNNNNNNNNNNNNNNNNNNNNNNNNNNNNNNNNNNNNNNNNNNNAGAUUCGAUCGUCAGUAUUCGCGUACCUAUUUCAAUCUCGUUUACCGGCAAGUCUCUUUACUCGUUCCGUAAUACAAGAUCCCACAACUUACACUAAGUCACAUUGCUUGCAAGGCUUGUGUGUGAUGUUGUAUUACCGAGUGGGCCCCGAGAUACCUCUCCGUCAUACGGAGUGACAAAUCCUAGUCUUGAUCCAUACUAUCUCAACGAACACCUUCGGAGAUACCUGUAGAGCAUCUUUAUAGUCACCCAGUUACGUUGCGACGUUUGAUACACACAAAGCAUUCCUCCGGUGUCAGUGAGUUAUAUGAUCUCAUGGUCAUAGGAACAAAUACUUGAGACGCAGAAAACAGUAGCAACAAAACGACACGAUCAACAUGGUACGUCUAUUAUUUUGGGUCUAGUCCAUCACAUGAUUCUCCUAAUGAUGUGAUCCCGUUAUCAAGUAACAACACUUGCAUAUGGCCGGGAAACCUGGACCAUCUUUGAUCAAUGAGCUAGUCAACUAGAGGCUUACUUGGGACAGUGUUUUGUCUAUGUAUCCACACAAGUAUUGUGUUACCAAUCAAUACAAUUAUAGCAUAGAUAAUAAACGAUUAUCAUGAACAAAGAAAUAUAAUAAUAACUAAUUAUUAUUGCCUCUAGGGCAUAUUUCCAACACCCUGGUGCUAUUACCUCUUUUUUCUUGAGGUAGUAGCACCGGUUCUAGAACUUGCCAGGAAUGUGAUUAUUUAGUCCUAAAACUUAUAAAAGUAGAUUAAGUAGUCCUAAAACUUGCACAGGAGGUGCGAGUUUAGUCCUAAGCCAAUCAAAAGCCGCCAAAUGGAGCCACCAUGGCGGGGCGGUCAAUAAUGGUGUUUUUACAUUUUCCACCCUGUCGUUUACUCAAAUCAACCCGCGAUACACCUCAGCCUCGUCGAAGGGGUAAAUCCACCUACAAUUAUUGUCUCCCUCAAUCAUUCGUCCGCCGGUCGCUUCCUCGCUCGUCCUCAUCCUGUUGAGUGUCGGGAUGUCGAUCGUUGCCCUGCUGCUCGCUCACGUCAACACGCAUGACGGCAUCGCCGGAGUGGUUCGGCGGCGGUUCGCAGCCACCUCCGUCCGUUCACCUCGUUCGCUCGAUCGGGGUCUUCCCUCCGGACCGUGGUUCGUCUCCCCUCCUAUUUUCCUCCUCCUCCUCCCCUUUCCUGGUCCUCUCGCUCCGAUGAUUUCAUGCCUCUCUAGUCCGACUCAUCGAUAGGUUUGACUAGUGUUUAGCUGUUGCUUUCGACUUGUCACACUCAGUAAUUCAAGUUGCAAGUUUAGUUUGUGGAUUCACUCUAGGGUUUUGGCAUGUAUAGAGAGAUUAUCUCGAAAUAAACAGGUGAUUUAAACUAAGUGUAGUGUGUGUGAACUUAAUUUAGGUGUUAAUUCUGUUGCAAUGCCUUAGAUCUGUUCACAAAUUUUUGGUUAAAAAUAUGAACUUUGCAUAUCAUUUAUGCUACUCAUGUGGGCGAAAUCCAGUAAUUCAAAUGACAUCCAGGAAAUGUGAGUCUUUACAAUAUAAUAAUGUACUUAGUUCAUGGAAUUUCGUACAAUAAUGUCAUCGAUAUCUUCGGUUAAUUGUGUUUUUUAAGUUAACUGCAUAUGUUCAGUUGACUUCAUAUGUUAAGAGUUAAUUGUGUUUCUCUAGUAGGCCUCUUUCUUCGGUUAACUUUACAUAUGCUUACAUUCUACAUAUUUUCUGGAUACAAUGUGUGAUUCGACAAUGGGACAAAGGGUGGAUUCUCCUUUUUUUACACUUGAAUUGGAGGUGGCCUUUACCGUGGCGCAAUUGACGACAUGGAGUAUUUUAACCAUUCCGUGGAGGUGCUUGAUUAUGUUGAUUCUUGCAAUAUCUCAUAUGCAGUCCUUGAAGAGCACUUAAUUUGGCUUGGAUAUCCUAUGGGGCAACAUAUCAUAUAUUGGUGCAGACCUGGCAAAACAAUUCCAGAUGGGAUGGUAAGAAUUAGAGGUAAUGAGGAGCUGCAGCAGAUGUUCAGAGCUAGUGCUCAACAUAAAGUGCUUGAAAUCAUAGCUGACAAUUCAGAUUUCACCAGUAAUUUCAAACAAGACUUGGUACUGAAAAUGUCGAUAGUUGAGAGCCCUGUGAGGAUCUCCAACUCAAAUGCUGGUGCGGUGAGUGCAAUAUCUUCUCACAUCCUCAUAUCUGUCAAUGUUUAAGACCCAAUAUCAGAGGUUGCAACAGAUGCAACAGCAGAAGAGAACUUGCUUACUAAUGAUGCAGAGAACUUGCUUAAUGCUGCUGCAUAUAAUUUACUUAUUGAUGGUGCAAAUGCAACAUUAGCAGUAAAUUUGCAGCCUGAAGAUAUUGUGGUUUCAGAUUCAGAUUUCAAUGAGAGUGAUUAUGACAUAGAUGAUGGAGAUGAUGAUCUGUAUGAAGACAACAUUGACUUUCAUGUUGACGAAGAAGCUCAGCAGGAGGAGGAAGAGGUGUAGCGUGAUUAUCUAUUAGAAGAUGAAAAUCUAAAUGUGUCCAUUGAGGAACAAGAGCAGCUUAAGUACAAGUUCAAAGCUUUGAAUCCCAAAGUGGACAUGACAUCACCUGUCUUUAGGUUAGGAAUGGUAUUUGCUGAUGUGAUGAGCCGAGGAGAGCUAUUACUGCAUAUGCAAUAAGGAAUAGAGUGCAAAUCAAGAAGUUGGAGAAUGACAAGAUAAGACUGGAGGUAGUGUGUCAGAGAGGUUGUCCAUGGCUUCUUAAGGCUGGGAAUGACAAAAAAAUUUGGAGGUUUUGUCAUUAAGGCCUACAGUGGAGAGCAUUUGUGCCAGAAGACAUGGAAGUUAAAGGAUUUUACAGCUAAAUUCCUAUGCAAGACAUUCAUUGAUGAGUUCAAGGAUGACCAAAAGAUGUCACUUGCAACAUUUUCAAGGAAAAACACUAAGUAAUUUAAUGUGACUCCUAACAAAUGAAAGUUAGCUAGGGAUAAAAAGGAAUCAUUGAAUGAGAUCCAUGGUGAUGAGGCAGAGCAAUUCACUAAGCUAUGGGACUAUGUGUAUGAAUUAAGGAGCAAGAACCCUCGGUCUACAUUUCUGCUAUCAACUACACUAGUGAAGGAUAAAAAGUUUCCAUUGGGCAGGAAAUGUUUGAAAACCAUGUACUGGUCAUAUGAUGCAUGUAAAAUAGGUUGUCUUAAGGGUUGCAGACUCGAGGCAAAGACUUGGUGCAUGACAUUUUUCAGUGAAUUUUCCAAAUGUGAAAUUCUCUUGAACAAUAACUCUGAAGUGUUUAACAUUUACAUACUUGAGGGCAGAGAGAUAGCAAUGCUUAGUAUCCUUGAAUACAUAUUCUACAAGAUCAUGCACAAGUUAGUGAGCAAACAAAGGCAAGCUAUUGAAAAGUGGACAGUGUGUAGAAUAUGCCCAAAGAUUAGGAAGAAAUUAGAAAAAGCACUGAAUUUGCUGCAAACUGUCAUGUACGAGAAGUUGGCCAACAGAUUUUCAAAGUUAUGUCUGGUAACUCAACCUCCACUAUAGACCCUUGCUUGCACACAUGUGAUUGUAGGAGGUGGCAGCUGUUUGGAGUACCAUGUGGGCAUUGUGUAGCAUGCUGCAUGGAGGAGAGAAUUGAUCCAGAGACAAUGGUACAUGAAUGUUACAUUUCAGACAUAUCUUAAAGCUUAUGGAUAUACUCUAGUUCCUCUUGGAGGCCCAAAAGAAUAAAAUCAACAAAAUGGGUACAAGGUGUUUCCACCAGUGUUCACAGAACAGUCGGGGAGGCCAAAGUAAAACAGGAAGAGGACACCAGAGGAGAAGAUGAGGAAUGGUGUUACUGUUUUGAACAGAAAGGGUGUUACAAUGCACUGCUCCAUAUGCGGGAGAGCUGAUCACAACAGAAACAGGCAUUACAAAUGGCAGGAAGCUCAGAUUCAAGAAUGGGUGGAGUUAGUUGAUGAAAACUAUGAUGACCCAACUUUCCUUUAGGUAUGUGCACUUAACUGAAUUUAGCUGCAUUUGUACUUGUGUGAAACUUAAUUGAAUAUAACUAAAUUUAGUUGCAUUUGUGCUUGUAUGAAACUUAAACGUAUGUGGAGAACAUCUUCCCCGAGCAACCAAAUCCUAGGUUAGAUCCAGCUGAGCCACCAACAAGCAUGGUGUUCAACAUGGGUGGGAGAGAACUUGCAAGAAGAGCUCCUCAGAGGGUCCAUGGCCCAUUGCGAGAGCAAUCUUCAUUUGUUCCUGCUGCUGCCUGCUGGUGCUACAAUACCUUAGCCAAGGGUGACCACAGAAAUGAACAUAGGAAGGCAAACAAGUGUAACCACAGCAGCUAAAGAAGGCAAGGGUCUGGAAGUGCUAGAAGGGGGAGAGGAAGGAAAAGACAAAGAGAUGCAGGGAGAGGAGGAGGAGGCAGAAAUGUAGAUGCACGUGCUGGGACAACAUGAGGAAGAGGAGGCAGAAAUGUUCAUGAUUGGAGAGGAAGAGGAUCAAGAAAUGCAGGGGAGGCACAUGAGGAAUAAUUCCAGGUGGUGUUGUAGGAAGUGGAGGAAGAAAUCCAGAUGGCGGGAGAGGAAGCAUUCCAGGGGAGAGGGCAUACUAGCUGCUGUUUGGAGAAGACUUGAGGAGCCAAAUUCCCGACCUAAAUGCUCCUCCUGAAUAUUUUCCUGUCACAGGAUGCGCCUGAUCCGUGAUGGAAUGGCAAUUUUCAUUGCCAUUUUUUAUAAGGCCUAGAAUGAUGUAGCUCAUAAACUAGCGUGAAGAAGCAGGGUCGCAACCCCUUUUUGAUAGCAAAGAGUGUCAUUCAUUGUCACAUUGGUAAUUUUCGUGCCAUAACAUUGUGGUUGGUGGAGAUAUGUGGUUAAAUGAAUUUCAUAUGCCUAUUUACCUAUUUAUGAUGAAUUUUAUUUUGCCAACUAAAUUUUGAUUUUAUACCACCAUUCUAAUGUUCUACUCCCUCCGUUCCUAAAUAUAACUCUUCUUAGAGGUUUCACUAGGAGACUACAUACGGAUGUAUGUAGACAUACUUUAGAGUGUAGAUUCACUCAUUUUGCUCUAUAUGUAGCCCCCUAGUGAAAUCUCUAAAAAAUACUCAUAUUUAGGAACAGAGGAAGUAGUUAAUUGAUUUUUAGAAAAAGUAGCCAAAAAAUAUGUGAGGCAUGGGGCUCGAACCCACGGCCUGUGAUUUGAUAUGCUGCUCUCAAUGCCAAUGGGAUAGUAGUAGGGACUUGUCAUGUUACUCCUAGUUUCUAGUGGGAUCGUGCGUGCGUGCGCGUGCGUUGCACAUGGUGAGCAACGACCGUGCGGUUCUUAAGAGGUGGACGGUUGGGUUUCCCACUGCUCUAAAUACAUGUCCACCCACUCGAUCCCCCCCACUCAUGUCUCUUCGCACUUCUCUCUCUCCACCGUUCCCAAUCUCACACACAGAAAACCCUCAACGUCCACCAUGCAACCGUCGGCCACCACCCAAACAUUGAAGCCAUGGACAAUAGCAUAGGCUGGCAGAAGGCCAUGGAAGAUCUCGUCGGCGACAGGAACGAGAUCCGCGAGCAGCUUCGGGAAAUUACGCGCUAGUUCCCAAGCAUGGCAAUGAUGCGUGAUACCUCUUCGUUGUAUCUAUAAUUUUUGAUUGUUUCAUGCCAAUAUUAUACAACUUUCACAUACUUUUGGCAACUUUUUAUAUGAUUUAUGCGACUAAACUAUUGAUCUAGUGACCAGUGCCAGUUCAUGUUUUUUGCAUGUUUUUUGUAUCACAUAAAAUCCAUAUCAAACUAAGUCCAAACAUGAUAAAAAUUUACGGAGAAUUAUUUUGGAAUUUAUGUGAUUUUUGGGAGGUGGAAUCAACGCAAACGGGGGCCCCGAGAGCCCACAACCCACGAGGGCGCGCCAUAGGCCCUAUGCGCGCCCUAGUGUCUUAUGCCCUCCUCGAACGUCGGUUGGAGCCCUUAUUAUGGCGCAAGAAAUAGAAUUUAUGGAAAAAAACCGUGUAAAAGUUUUAGUGCAAUCGGAGUUACGGAUCUCCGGGAAUUUAAGAAACCGUGAAGGGCCACAUCUCGGAAGCGCGAAAUAGAAGAGAACAGAGAGGGAGAUCCAAUCUCAGAGGGGCUCCCGCCCCUCCGCCACCAUGGAUGCAAUGGACUAGAGGGGAACUCUCCUCCCAUCUACGGGGGAGUCCAAGGAAGGAGAAUAAGGAUGGUCUCUCUCUCUCCCUCUCUCCCGGUGGCGCCGGAGUGCCGCCGGGGCUAGGAUCAUGACGGUGAUCUACAUCAACAACCUUGCUACCUUCAACACCAACUUUCUCCCCCUCUAUGCAGCGGUGUAACACCCCUUCUCCCCGCUCUAAUAUCUACUUAAACAUGGUGCUCAACUCCAUAUAUUAUUUCCCAAUCUUAUUUGGCUCUCCUAUGAUGUUUGAGUAGAUCCAUUUUGUCCUAUGGGUUAAUCGUGAUCUUGGUUGAUAUGAUUGUAUAUUUUAUUUAUGGUUCUGUCCUACGGUGCCCUACGUGUCACGCAAACGUGAGGGCCCCCCGCUGUAGGGUGUUGCAAUAUGUUCAUGGUUUGCUCAUUGUCGGUCUUGCGAGGGUAACAACAGCCUAAACGCGGAUAAGUGGGUUAUGGCGUAGGGGAGUAAAGAGGACUUGAUACUUAAUGCUAUGGUUGGGUUUCAUGACCUUAAUGAUCUUUAGUAGUUGCGGAUGCUUGCUAAAGCUCCAAUCAUAAGUGCAUAUGAUCCAAGCAGAGAAAGUAUGUUAGCUCAUGCCUCUCCCUCAUAUAAAUUGCAAGAAUGAUUACCGGUACUUGUUAUCGAUUGCCUAGGGACAAAUGACUUUCUUGUUGACAAAAGCUAUCCACUUUUAUUACCUUGCAAUUUAUUCAUAGUUUUAUUCUCGCAAAGUACUCGUAGUUUUGUUGUUGAAAAAUAGUUUCAAACUUGUUUUAGGUAAAUAAAACGUCAAGCGUGCGUAGAAUUGUAUCGGCGGUCGAUAGAACUUGAGGGAAUAUUUGUUCCACCUUUAGCUCCUUGCUGGGUUCGACACUCUUACUUAUCGAGAAAGGCUACAAUUGAUCCCCUAUACUUGUGGGUACUCAUGGAGAUGGGGAACCUCCUAAAACCAUCGAUGCUCGUUAUGUGAAAAAUAUUAUGCACUACUUUGAUAAUCCCGAGAAAACCCCAUUCAACAUGAUAAUGGGAGACACGUUGAUCAAUGUGAAUACUUUAGGGAUUAUCGCUUGACACAAAAAGGGAAACUGUUAUGAGAUCAAAUUGAUAUGUUGCAUUGAUAAGGGAAACGUAAAUUCCAAGCAUACCAAUGCACUACUUUGAUAAUCCCGAGAAAACCCCAUUCAACAUGAUAAUGGGAGACACGUUGAUCAACGUGAAUACUUUAGGGAUUAUCGCUUGACACAAAAAGGGAAACUGGUAUGAGAUCAAAUUGAUAUGUUGCAUUGGUAUGCUUGGAAUUUAUGCCAAAGAUAUGAUUUUACUUGUUGCUCUAGGAUGAAUGCUCCACACCUUCCCUUUUCAUGCAAAUUUCAUGAUAUGAAACCUUGGCUUCUUAUGCUAAUGGUAUAUAUGAUUACUAUGAUGUGGAACGAAUAGAAGAAUUUGUUGCUUUAAGGGUGCUUAUGAAAUUGAAUCUUUGUUUGAAAAGUUUGAUGGUUUUGAUGAUUCAGUUUAUAGAUAUGAAAAUUUUUCUAUCCUUAAAUAUUGCUAUGAUAAUUAUAAAUACAAUUUCGAUAUUGAUGCAUUUAUUUAGGAAGUCUCCGCUGUCCAAGAAGAGAUUAAUAUUUUGUAGGAGUCUAUGGAAGAAGGAAUUGAUGAAACUGUGAGCUCAUUGGAUGGAAAAGAUGACGAGGAGAGCAAAGAACAAAAGGAGGAAGAGCGGAUUGAUCACCCGUGCCCGCCUUCUAAUGAGAGUAACUCUUCAACUCAUACAUUGUUUAACGUCCCUUUGUUCCUACCGAAGGAUGAAUGCUAUGAUAAUUACUAUGACCCCGUUGAUUCGUUUGAAAUAUCCCUUUUAGAUGAUGCUUGCUAUGCUUGUGGAAAAGUUGCCAAUAUGAAUUAUGCUAUUGGAGAUGAACUUGCUAUUGUUCCUUAUAUUAAGAAUGAAAUUGUUGCUAUUGCGCCCACACAUGAUAGUCCUAUUAUCUAUUUGAAUUCUCCAAACUACACUAUAUCGGUGAAGUUUGCACUUGUUAGUGAUUAUAUUGAUGGGUUGCCUUUUACCACUACACAUGAUGAUUUUGAUGAAUAUAAUAUACAUGUGAUUGCUGCUCCUACUUGCAAUUAUUAUAAGAUAGGAACUAUAUCUCUGCCUCUCUAUGUUUCAAACAUGAUAAAAUUGCAAGAAACUGCUUAUGCUAUGUAUUGGCCUUUACUUGAUGUGCAUGAAUUGUUCUUGUAUGACAUGUUGAUGCAUAGGACGAGAGUUAGAGUUCACCAUUGCUUGAUAUAUGUUGUUUUGUGCUUACUACUAAAUGCCAAAUCAUUGCUAAUUAAAAUUGGCUUUGAUAUACCUUGGGAUCCGAGUGGAUCCAUUACUUGAGCACUUUAUGCCUAGCUUAACGACUUUAAAGAAAACGCUGCCAGGGAGACAACCCGGAAGUUUUAGACAGUCAUUUCAUUCUGUUGAGUGCUUUUAUAAAGUUAAAAAAAUAUAGAGGGGAACUUAAAACUUCACAAAAAUAGAAGCGAUUGAAAGGUGAUGCAUUGGUAAAGUGGGGGUCGACCUUGAACACUUGUGUUCAUGCUCAUGGAAACAAUGUAGAUUUUUUCAUGAACAUUCUUACAAAAAUAAUUACCCCUUGUACAAAUCCAUUGUAUUAUAAAAAUAAUGUGCCAAGAUUUGCCUUUAGGAUGUGUAGAUUGCUUGUUGGUAUGUGCGGUGCAGAAACAGAAACUUUCGUUGUAGCGCGUGAAUUUUCAUUUUUUACUGGAACGUAAAAAGGUUCUGAAACUUUUUGAAAAAUAUUUAUGUACAAUUUUUAUUUCUUCCUAAGUUUUCAGAAUUUGUGGAGUAACAGAAGUAUGGUAGAUGUAAAGAUUGCUACAGACUGUCCUGUUUAAGACAGAUUAUGUUUUUGAUGCAUUGUUUUGCUUGUUUUGAUGAAACUAUCGGUUUUUAUUGGUGGUAUGAGCCAUGGAAAAGUUAUAUUACAGUAGCUACAAUGAAAAAACAAAAUAUUAAUUGGUUUCAACAGUACUUAGAGUAGUGAUUUGCUUCAUUAUACUAGCAGAUCUUACCGAGCUUUCUUUUGAGUUUUGUGUGGAUGAAGUGAUCAAAGAUCGAGGAAGUCUCGAUAUGAGGAGAAGAAGGAGAGGAAAGAGCUCAAGCUUGGGGAUUCCCAAGGCACGCCAAGUAAAUAUUCAAGUAGAAUCAAGCGUCUAAGCUUGGGGAUGCCCCGGAAGACAUCCCAUCUUUCUUUAACAAGUAUCGGUAUGUUUUCGUCUUUGCUUCGUUCAUGUGAUAUGUGCAAAUCUUGGAGCGUAUUUUGCAUUUACUUUUAAUUUUUUUUAUUUUAUGCACCAUGCUGGUAUGAGAUAGUCCACGGUUGAUUUAUAGAAUGCUCAUUUCACUUCACUUAUAUCUUUUGAGUAUGUCUUUAUAGAAUGCUUCAUGUGCCUCACUUAUAUCAUUUGAAGUUUGGAUUGCCUGUUUCUCUUCACAUAGAAAACCGUUGUUUGUAGAAUGCUCUAUUGCUUAACUUAUACUUAUUAGAGCAUGAUAUAUUUUAGAAAGAAUUAAAAUCUCAUGCUUCACUUAUAUCUAUUUAGAGAGUCAACAUGAAUUGGUCAUUUGCAUGGUUAGUCAUAAAAUCCUACAUAAAACUUAUGGAUCACUCAAUAUGAUAUGUUUGAUUCCUUGCAAUAGUUUUGCGAUAUAGAGAUGGAAUAUGUGGGAGGUACUAGUAGACGGUUGUGGUUAUUAAGAAUAUUGGUGUUAAGGUUUGUGAUUCCCGAAGCAUGCACGUAUAGUCUCUCGUUAUGCCGGGAAGUUGGAGCACAGUUUAUCCUUGAAUGUCUAUAUUUGUGUGAAGGUCGGGGGUGCACGAUGGUUAAAUACUACCAACCUCCCCCCUAGGAGCAUGCGUAGUAGUACUUUGCUUCAAGGGCUAAUAGACUUUUGCAAUAAGUAUAUGAUUUCUUUAUGAAUAAUGUGAGUCCAUGGAUUGUACGCACUCUCACCUUUCCGCAAUUUGCUAGCCUCUACGGCACCGUGCAUUGCCCUUUAUCACCUCGAGACAUGGUGCAAACCUCGCCGGUGCAUCCAAACCCCGUGAUAUGAUACGCUCUAUCACACAUAAGCCUUAUUAUAUCUUCCUCAAAACAACCACCAUACCUACCUAUUAUGGCCUUUCCAUAGCCAUUCCGAGAUAUAUUGCCAUGCAAUUUCCACCGCGUCCGUUUGACUUGAGCAUUCAUUGUCGUAUUGCUUUGCAUGAUCAUAUAGCUGACAUAGUAGUUGUGGCUCAGCCACCGUGCAUCAUUUUUUAUAAAUGUUACGCUAGAUCAUUGCACAUCCUGGUACACUACCAGAGGCAUUCAUGUAGAGUCAUAUUUUGUUUUUGGUAUUGAGUUGUAAUUUUUAUUUGUUUUAAGUUAUAAGUAAAUAGAAGUGUGAUGAUCAUCAUUAUUCAUUAUUAGAGCAUGUCCCAGUGAAGAAAGGAUGAUGGAAACUAUGAUUCCCCCACAAAUCGGGAUGGGACUCCGGACAAUGAGAGAAAAAAAUAUAUAAAAAAAUAGAAAAGAAAGAAAGAAAAGAAAGAAAAAAGAAGAAAAAACUAUAAAAAAGAAAAGAGGGAAGGGUCAUGCUAGUUCCACACUUGUGCUUCAAAGUAGCACCAUGUUUUUCAUAUGGAGAGUCUCCUAUGUUGUCACUUUCAUAUACCGGUGGGAAUUUUCAUUAUAGGAUUAGAUGCACACCCACUUAGUUUUCAUAUGGAGCUUUCAUAUACUUAUAGCUCUUAGUGCAUUCGUUGCAUGGCAAUCCCUACUCCUCACAUUGAUAUCAAUUGAUGAGCAUCUCCAUAGCCCAUUGGUUAGCCGCGUCGAUGUGAGACUUCCUUACUUUUUUGUCUUCUCUAUAUUUAUCCCUAUCAUCAUACUCUAUUCGACCCGUAGUGCUAUAUUCAUGGCUUGCGCUCAUGUAUCGCGUGAGGGUUGAAAAAGCUGAAGCACGUUAAAAAGUCUGAAACAGUUGCUUGGCUGACACGUGAUAGUACAUGAUUUAUACUUUGUGUUAAGAAGACAGAGCAUGACAAGAUUAUAUGACUUUGUAGGGAUAACUUUCUCUAGCGUUGAUAUUUUGAAAGACAUGAUUGUUUAUUGGGAUGCUUGAGUAUUGAUGUCUUUAUUCAAAUUAUAGACUAUUGCUUUGAAUCACUUAUGUUUUCAUAUUCAUGCCAUGAUUAGAUAUAUGAUCAAGUUUAUGCUAGGUAGCAUUCCACAUCAACUUUUUUACCAUUUACCUACUCGAGGACGAGCAGGAAUUAAGCUUGGGGAUGCUGAUGCAUCUCCGUCGUAUCUAUAAUUUUUGAUUGUUUCAUGCCAAUAUUAUACAACUUUCACAUACUUUUGGCAACUUCACUACAAGAGGAACCCCCCUAUAGCAACACUUUUUCCGUAUCUAAAGGUCCAUAUAUGCGUUGUUACUGUCUUUACCAACGAUUUGGGAUGUGUUGCCUUAUCCAGUGUUGCUAGCGCCUAAUGCAACGCUUAUACUGUCAUUGGUAAAAGGGGAAGUUGCAAGAAUACAACACAUAAAAUCAAUGUCUACAACACUUCUAUACGUUGGUGCUUAAUAUACAGGAAGCGAAAUCUCAUUGCUUGCCAAAAGAGAUUUUACACUUCACGUGUUGGUACAUAUAUCAUGUGAAUAUUAUUAUUAUUUUUGUUAUUAAUUAUUAUUAUUAUUAUUAAUCAAUUAUUCGCAUAAUGGUGAUCAUUAUGUAUAUCAAGUGAGGGAAAAAGACAACAUACUCACAAGAGUAAGCAAUCAUAUAUUUAAUAAUAUUGUUGGAUUACAAUAUUGGAUAUUACAAAAGGAACAUCAUCCCAAUUUGAUCCAUAAUCUGAAUAUUUUCUUUGGAGUAAGACUUAAACUGAAAAAAAUUCCAUCAAUAUCCCUACAACUUAACUAAGAUUUAACCGAGGAACAUCAUCCAGCAAGAAGAACAUCCCUACAACUUAACUAAAACUGAAAGCAUCCAUCAUCAUCAUCAUGAACCGAAACAUCAUCAUCAUCAUCAUUGUAGUAUACUUGCCACACACCCAUAGAAUCAUCCAUAUAUCUUCUGAUUGAAUCUACAAAGAAAAUAACAAAACGAACUGUUAAUCCACAAUGAACUCACAUGAUGCAAGUAGUGAUAGAGGCAGGUUAUUAGUCACGUACAGAGGUUGAUGGGCAAGAAAUGUAUGUUUGUUCAUUACAAGUUACUAACAUACAUAGUAGAUGGAAAUACAUUCGUAACCUAUCUCAAGGUCACCAUUGACCCGCUAGUAUAAGUUUUUUACCACUUUUUUGAGGGGUUCAUGUUAUAGACUUAAAUUAUAAUAGCAAAAAGGUUCGUGCGGGAGAAAAACAAUAUCACACCCCCUAUCCCAAUAAUCAUGGUGCAUAACCUACCACAUCUUAACUUUCUCUAUUUCAACAUGUCACUACAUUUUAUAAAUAAUAACUAGUUCGAAGCUAUUCAAGGAGAUACUAUCUGGUCAAUUCCUGUAAAAAUAAUUAAGAGGUUAAUUAAUUAGCUAUUCCUUUGAAUGUUAAUUCUCUACUUUUGCGAUUCUUGGAUUGGACGGAUAAAUUAACUAGCCACCCCUUUGAGUGGUAUUGCUCUACUUUUGUUAUCAAAGUCCACCAAAAUACGUUAAGUUGUCACACAUUUUUAUAUCUACGUGUCUUGUCCAGAAGGUUGAAGCCACCACCGAAUGUGGCCAUUAAGCAAGUUGAGGUUACUUUUUGCAGAGAAGAAAUAUUAUUCCAAAAGAACAAUUCCGAUAGAAACUUGGAAAAUAAAUGCAUUCCCUAGUAGUUUACUUCAUAAUUAAGUAGACAAUUCAUCAUGGCAUCAAACAAAAUACAUGAACGAUCUGUAGCUGAUCUGCAUUAGUACAGUUACACCAACAUGUAACAUCAUGUUAUUUCAGCAUUAUUCCCUUGAAAUAUGUACAGUGUAGUGAUGAAUGUGUGGAAUAAGAAGAGAGUGUCAACCUGGUUAGUACCUUGAAGAAGGCCUUGCUCUUGAGCUAGGGGUCCAACACUCAUGGACUGAAAGAAAUAAGAAGACCAAGAUGAAAAAACAACCAACAUACCUCGUCUAACUGUAGUUGGUGACUAACGGCGAGCUCGGGGAUAAGAACCAUCUUGUACGGCGUCUACAUGAGGGCCCUGGCGACGUCAAACUUCUAGGACAACUCAAACGCCGCCACCAUCGUUCUUUUGAUCCCUCGCCCUGCCAAUCAACAUUAUUAGAAUGCAAAACAGCACCAACAGUUUCACUUCUAGUAAGACGACCUCACCAUCACAUUGGAAUCCAAAAAAAUCAAUCAGAUGAUUCUAUAAUCUCAGUAUACACCAUGCGUAUUCAUCAAUGUGUGCAAUGAUUCCUGUGUUCGUAAUACAAGACUAUACAUGUCACCAUGCUUGUGUUGUACAGUCGUUACAACAUCUUAAAGUGCUGUAUUUUACUCCCUCCGUUCCUAAAUAUGUCUUUUAAGAGAUUUCACUAGGGGUCUACAUACGGAGAAAAAUGCGUGAAUCUACACUCUAAAAUAUGGCUAUUUACAUCUGUAUAUAGUCCACUAGUGUAACCUCUAGAAAGACUUAUAUUUAGGAACGGAGGGGGUAGCUAUGUGUGAUGAGCAAUGUAUCCACGGGGAUCCUAGAAAAUCAAUCAAAUCACAUUAAGUAGUGGAUAUAAGAAACCUAAGAGUUGGAGGGACCUGACUUGCUUUGCUGACGUAGCACCCCUCUUUUGAUCCAUUAUUAUUGGUUUUGUUACCAUUUCUUUGAGUGUUUCAUCUUACAGACUUAAAAUGUAUGAGCCUAAUAUUGGUGUAUUGGUGUAUGGGCAAAAAUCAUUGCAUAAGUAUUAAUAUUUAUCCAAUGUUGAACGUAUCAAUUGGGACAAAGAUACUCAUUUUUACGGCAUGCAGUGCGAAAUCUGUUGGAGCAGCACGAACCUGCACCAAUUGUGUGUGUCCCUUAUCCCACUCCUUCAUGAGAACCUGGUCCAAGUAUGAGUAAAAUAUAACAGAGUAAGAAUAAAUUUUCAGUUUUUGCUCGUAAACAUAGUUUACAUAUUAGUUAUGCACCAUUUGUGGUAAAGGGGCUACUUAAGUUAUUCAACACGUCAUGGUAGUUAACAUGGGAAAUCAUGUUUGGGUAAAAAUAAAUUAGUCCGAACAAAAUCACUACUUAUACUGUAUAUAUAGACAACCAAAAGUACCUAAAUAUGAAAAUGUUAACAAACGAUGGCAAGACAUGCUUAUAGUUUCUCUGAAGCUACAUACUUUUCACACAACACGUUGUAUAUGCACUAACCAUGACAAAUCACAAUAAUUCUUUAAUUGGAGUGUGUGCAAUUUGCAUAACACAUACAAGCAUAACUCAAAAAGCCUCGUGGUGCAUCUUUUAUUUUGUGAGAACAAGAAAAGGGUGGGAAAUGCCAAAUUUGGAACAAAAUUAAGGACCGCUUCAGAACCAUACACGCACACCAUUACUGAGGAUUUAUACAAUCUAGUAUAUAUUGGAAAGUGGCUUAAUUACCUUAUUAUGCUUUCUCUAAGUGGCAACUCUGAAAUCCAAAUAAUGAAACUAUAGAGGAACGAUAUACAUGCUGUUAGACACUAAUGUUUAGAAUAUUUCUUCCAUAAUAAUAAUUGUAGGAUGUUCCUUUUUAUACUGAAACCUCAUCAAUCAAUCUAUGGUGUAAACAUGAACCUCUACAAGUCAACUACUCCUUGCUAUUAGCAUAACAAUAGCUCCGGACGUGCCACGAACCAGAGCAGAGGGGUGGAGUGGACCAACUCACCUAAUGCCAAAGGAGGAGGAGGAGGAAGCUCCAUAGUUGCUUUGUCCCGAUCAGCAGCAAGUCUGUCCACCGACCAUUCCUACUUGCACUCCUAUAGGUGAAGAGAAAAACAGAGGUCGGAGAAAGGGGGGAUAGAGAAGAUGAAGCCAUGGUAGGGGAUGCACUCACCGGACAAGAGGUGAAUGACAUGGUCACAAGCGCCGGAGUCGAUGCCCGAAACCCUAGCCAUGGGGGAAGGAUUGCGGGUGGGCAUUAGGGGUCGUCACCGCUGGAUCUAGAUAGAUGGGAGGGCACCACUCUGCGACGGGACCUUGGGUUGUGCUUCGUGGUGGUAGUAUUCAUCGAACUUCACGUGAAUAAGCCGUCGAAGGUCGUGCAACGAGGAGUCGCGUGAAGAGAGAGAGAGAGAGACGGGAUGCGGGAGGUAUUAGAGCAUAUAUCUCCAUAUGUGGUUUUGGUAAUUGAUGACAAUUCCUAUGGACUAAUAGUUGCCUUAAGUUAUAUUUAUAGGAUUUGUCCAUAGGCACUUCUUGAAGUCCAUCUGUUGGGUUCAAGGAGUUUAUAUGAUGACCAAGAUGGUAUUCAAGGUAUUAUCCAAAGAAUGGUCAUAGAGACACUAGGUUGAUAAAUAUCAUGUUGAUAUUUAUUGCUUUAUGGGCUGUUAUAUUACUUUGUGGUACCAUAUUUAUGCCUUUUUCUCUCUUAUUUUGCAAGGUCUAUUUGAAGAGGGAGAAUUCAGGCAGCUGGAAUUCUCGACUGGAAAAGGAGCAAAUCUUAGUGCACUAUUCUGCACAUCUCCAAAUGCCCUAAAAAGUUACGUGGAUUUUUUUGGGAUUAUAUAAAAAAUACUGGGUGAAAGAAGUACCGGAGGGGGGCUGCCAGGGCGCCACAAGCCCUGCCACCGCCACCCCUGGUGGCGGGGGGCAAGCUUGUGGGCUCCCUGACGGCCCACUAGCCCCCCUCUUUUGCUAUAUGAAGGGUUUCGUUCCAGAAAAAAUCAAUCGGGAGCUUUUUCGUGGUUUCGCCGCCGCCACGAGGCGGAACUUGAGCAGAUCCAAUCUAGAGCUCCGGCAGGACGAUCCUGCCGGGGAAACUUCCCUCCCGGAGGGGGGAAUCGUCGCCAUCGUUAUCACCAACACUCCUCUCGUCGGAGGGGAGGCAUCUUCAUCAACAUCUUCAUCAACACCAUAUCCUCUCCAAUCCCUAGUUCAUCUCUUGUAACCAAUCUCCGUCUCACAACUCCGAUUGGUACUUGUAAGGUUGCUAGUAGUGUUGAUUACUCUUUGUAGUUGAUGCUAGUUGGAUUACUUGGUGGAAGAGUUUAUGUUCAGAUCCUUGAUGCUAUUCAUUACACCUCUGAUCAUGAUUAUGAUUAUGCUUUGUGAGUAGUUACUUUUGUUCCCGAGGACAUGGGAUAACUGAUGCUGAUAAUAGUCAUGUGAAUUUGAUAUUCGUUCGGUAUUUUGAUAUGUUGUAUGUUGUCUUUUUCUGUAGUGGUGUUAUGUGAACGUCGACUCCAUAACACUUCACCAUAUUUGGGCCUAGAGGAAGGCAUUGGGGAGUAGUAAGUAGAUGAUGGGUUGCUGGAGUGACAGAAGCUUAAACCCCAGUCUAUGUGUUGCUUCGUAAGGGGCUGAUUUGGAUCCACUAGUUUAAUGCUAUGGUUAGACGUUGUCUUCAUUCUUCUUUUGUAGUUGCGGAUGCUUGCGAGAGAGGUUAAUCAUAAGUGGGAUGCUUGUCCAAGUAAGGGCAGUACCCAAGCGCCGGUCCACCCACAUAUCAAACUAUCAAAGUAACGAACGCGAAUCAUAUGAACAUGAUGAAACUAGCAUGACAGAAAUUCCCGUGUGUCCUCGGGAGCGUUUUUCCUCCUAUAAGACUUUGUUCAGGCUUGUCCCUUGCUACAAAAGGGAUUGGGCCACUUGCUGCACCGUUGCUACUACUUUUUACUUGUUACUUUUUGCUUGCUACGUUUCACCUCGCUACACAAUCACUCGUUACCGCUACUUUCAGUGCUUGCAGUUAUUACCUUGCUGAAUUCCGUUUAUCAGAGCCUUCUGCUCAUCGUUGGGUUCGACACUCUUACUUAUCGAAAGGACUACGAUUGAUCCCCUAUACUUGUGGGUCAUCAAGACUCUUUUCUGGCGCCGUUGCCGGGGAGUGAAGCGCCUUUGGUAAGUGGAAAUUGGUAAGGAAACAUCUAUAUACUGUGCUGAAAUUUAUUGUCACUUGUCACUAUGGAAACUGUUCCUUUGAGAAGUUUGUUCGGGGUAUCUUCACCAUGAACGGAAGCACGAGGAGUUGUUCCUCAACCUGAGGUACCUACUGAAAAUAUCUUUUAUGAAAUUCUUUCGGGUACGCUUGAGAAACUGCUGGCUAAUCCUUUCACACGAGAUGGAUCUUCACAUCCAGACUUGCAUCUGAUCUGUGUAGAUGAAGUUUGUGGUUUAUUUAAGCUUGCAGGUUUGCCCGAGGAUGAGGUAAAGAAUGAAGUAUUUCCUUUAUCUUUGAAGGAUAAGGCGUUGACAUGGUAUAGGCUAUGUGAUGAUACUGGAUCAUGGGGCUACAAUCGGUUGAAAUUGGAAUUUCAUCAAAAGUUCUAUCCUAUGCAUUUAGUACAUCGUGAUCGGAACUUUAUUUAUAACUUUUGGCCUCGUGACAGGGAAAGCAUAGCUCAAGCUUGGGGGAGGCUUAAAUCAAUUCUAUAUUCAUGCCCCAAUCAUGAGCUCUGGAGAGAAGUCAUCACUCAAAACUUUUAUGCUCGGCUUUCCCAUGAAGAUCGUACCAUGCUUGACACUUCUUGUACCGGUUCUUCUACAAAGAAGGAUACUGAUCACAAGUGGAAUUUAUUGGAAAGAAUCAAAUGCAACUCUGAAGAUUGGGAGCUGGAGGAAGGUAAGGAGUCAGGUAUGAAUUUCCAGUUUGAUUGCGUUAAAUCUUUUGUUGAGACAAACACUUUUAGAGAUUUUAGCGCUAAGUAUGGACUUGACUCUGAGAUAGUAGCUUCUCUUUGUGAAUCUUUUGAUGCUCAUGUUGAUCUUCCCAAAGAGAAGUGGUUUGAAUAUCAUCCUCCUGUAGAAAGAAACAUAGCCAAAACCAAUCUAGUUGAGGAGAAAAUCAUUGCUUUUAGUGAUCCUGUUGUUCCUUGUGCUUACACUGAGAAACCACCAUACCCUGCUAGGAUAAAGGAUUAUUCUAAAGCUCCAACUAUGAUACGUAGGGGUUACAUUAGACCACUUGCACCCCAUGAGGAGAUUAGAGUUGAACCUAGUGUUGCUAUUAUUAAAGAUCUCUUAGCCGAAAACAUAGAUGGGCAUGUUAUCAAAUUCUGUGAGGACUCCGCUAGAAUUGCUAAACCUCACGCGAAGGACAAAUACGGUCCUGUAGUUGGCCUGCCCGUUGUUUCUUUCAAGAUAGGAGAUCACUGUUGCCAUGGUUUAUGUGAUAUGGGAGCUAGUGUUAGUGCAAUACCCCGUUCUCUAUAUGAUGAAAUCAAAGAUGAGAUUGCACCUGCUGAGUUAGAACCCAUUGAUGUCACUAUUACGCUAGCUAAUAGAGACAGUAUCUGCCCUCUGGGAAUUGUGAGAGACGUAGAAGUCCCGUGUGGUAAGACGAAGUAUCCUACUGAUUUCCUCGUCCUUGGUACUGCACAAGAUAGCUUUUGUCCCAUCAUAUUUGGUAGACCCUUUCUCAACACUGUCAAUACUCACAUUGAUUGCAUUAAGGAGACCGUCACAGUUAGUUUCGAGGGUGUGUCUCAUGAAUUUAACUUCUCCAAGUUUGGAAGACAACCCCAUGAAAAAGAGUCGUCUGGUAGGGAUGAAAUCAUUGCUCUUGCCUCUAUUGCCGUACCUCCUACGGAUCCUUUAGAGCAAUAUCUGCUUGAGCAUGAAAAUGAUAUGCAUAUGGAGGAGAGAGAUGAGAUAGAUAAAAUUGUCUUAGAACAAUAUCCUAUUCUCAAGAAUAAUCUGCGUGUUGAACUGCUUGGGGAUCCUCCCCCACCAAAGGGUGAUCCUGUGUUCGAGCUUAAACAGUUGCCUGAUACUCUUAAGUAUGCCUAUCUUGAUGAGAAGGAGAUAUAUCCUAUUAUUAUUAGUGCUCUCCUCUCAGAGCACAAAGAGAAGAAGUUAUUAAGAACUUUGAGGAAGCACCGUGCUGCUAUUGGAUAUACUCUUGAUGAUCUUAAGGGUAUUAGUCCUAUUCUAUGUCAGCACAAGAUUAAAACGAUCCUGACUUUAAACCACUUGUUGAUCAUCAAAGGAGAUUAAAUCCUAAGAUGAAAGAGGUCGUUAGAAAAGAAAUAUUAAAGCUUCUGGAAGCAGGAAUCAUUUAUCCUGUUGCUCAUAGUGACUGGGUAAGUCCAGCACAUUGUGUACCGAAGAAGGGAGGUAUCACCGUCGUUCCUAAUGAUAAGGAAGAACUAAUCCCACAGAGGAUUAUUACGGGCUAUAGGAUGGUGAUAGACUUCCGGAAACUGAACAAGGCAACCAGGAAAGAUCAUUAUCCUUAGCCGUUUAUCGACCAAAUGCUAGAAAGGCUAUCAAAACACACACACUUCUGCUUUCUAGACGGUUAUUCAGGUUUCUCACAAAUACCCGUUGCACAAUCUGAUCAGGAGAAAACCACUUUCACCUGCCCCUUCGGUACCUUUGCUUAUAGACGUAUGCCUUUUGGUUUAUGCAAUGCACCUGCCACCUUUCAAAGAUGUAUGAUGGCUAUAUUCUCUGACUUUUGUGAAAAGAUUGUCGAGGCUUUCAUGGAUGACUUCUCCGUUUACGGGUCUUCCUUUGAUGAUUGCCUCAGCAACCUUGAUCGAGUCUUACAGAGAUGCGAAGAUACCAACCUCGUCUUGAAUUGGGAGAAGUGCCACUUUAUGGUUAAUGAAGGCAUCGUCUUAGGACACAAAAUUUCUGAAAGAGGCAUUGAAGUUGAUAAAGCUAAGGUUGAUGCAAUUGAGAAAAUGCCUUGCCCCAUAGAUAUCAGAGGUAUACGAAGUUUCCUAGGUCAUGCUGGUCUCUAUAGAAGGUUCAUUAAAGACUUCUCUAAGAUUUCUAGGUCUCUUACAAACCUCUUCCAGAAGGAUGUUCCUUUUGUUUUUGAAUAGGAUUGUGAGGAAGCUUUCGAAAUACUUAAGAAGGCUUUGAUAACCGCACCUAUUGUUCAACCACCUGACUGGAACUUGCCCUUUGAAAUCAUGUGCGAUAUUAGUGAUUAUAUUGUUGGUGCUGUUUUAGGAGAAAGAGUUGACAAGAAGUUGAAUGUUAUUCACUAUGCUAGUAAAACUCUAGACAGUGCCCAAAGAAACUAUGCCACUACAGAGAAGGAAUUUUUAGCAGUCGUGUUUGCAUGUGAAAAGUUCAGAUCUUAUAUAGUUGACUCCAAAGUCGCUAUUCACUCUGAUCAUGCUGCUAUUAAGUACCUUAUGGAGAAGAAGGACGCUAAGCCUAGGCUGAUUAGAUGGGUUCUCCUGCUACAUGAAUUUGAUUUGCACGUCGUUGACCGAAAGGGUGCUGAUAACACUGUAGGAGAUAACUUGUCUAGGCUAGAGAAUGUCCUUGAUGACCCACUACCUAUUGAUGACAGCUUUCCUGAUGAGCAAUUGAAUGUCAUCCGCACUUCACAUAGUGCAUCGUGGUAUGGUGAUUAUGCAAAUUAUAUCGUAGCCAAAUACAUACCACCCAGUUUCACCUAUCAGCAAAAGAAGAAAUUCUUCUUUGAUUUGAGACACUACUUUUGGGAUGAUCCUCACCUUUAUAAGUAAGGAGUAGAUGGUGUUAUCAGACGUUGUGUACCUGAACAUGAACAGGGACAGAUCUUGCAGAAGUGUCAUUCCGAAGCCUACGGAGGACACCAUGUUGGAGAUAGAACUGCCCAUAAGGUAUUGCAAUCAGGUUUCUAUUGGCCCACUCUCUUCAAAGAUGCUCGUAAGUUUGUUUUGUCUUGUGACGAAUGCCAAAGGAUAGGGAACAUCAGUAAGCGUCAGGAAAUGCCUAUGAACUAUUCACUUGUCACUGAACCAUUUGAUGUCUGGGGCUUUGAUUAUAUGGGGCCCUUCCCGAGUUCCUAUGGAUACACUCACAUCUUAGUUGAUGGGAAUUACGUCACUAAGUGGGUAGAAGCUAUCCCCACUAAAAAUGCUGAUCACCACACCUCUAUUAAGAUGCUUAAAGAAGUCAUUUUCCCAAGAUUUGGAGUCCCUAGAUAUCUGAUGACUGAUGGCGGUUCACACUUCAUUCAUGGUGUUUUCCGCAAGAUGCUCGCUAAGUAUGAUGUCAACCAUAGAGUUGCAUCUCCUUAUCAUCCUCAGUCUAGUGGUCAAGUGGAGUUGAGUAAUAGGGAGAUCAAGUUGAUCCUACAAAAGACCGUCAAUACAUCUCGAAAGAACUGAUCUAGCAAACUUGACGAUGCACUAUGGGCUUAUAGGACUGCUUAUAAGAAUCCCAUGGGCAUGUCACCGUAUAAAAUGGUUUACGGUAAGGCCUGUCAUUUACCUCUUGAGCUGGAACACAAAGCUUAUUGGGCAAUCAAAGAGCUCAACUUCGAUUUCAAACUUGCCGGUGAGAAGCGGUUGUUUGAUAUCAGCUCAUUAGAUGAAUGGAGGGCCCAUGCAUCUGAGAAUGCCAAGCUGUUCAAGGAAAAGGUUAAGAGAUGGCACGAUAAACGAAUACAGAAACGAGAGUUCAAUGUAGGUGAUUAUGUCCUGCUAUACAAUUCUCGUUUGAGAUUCUUUGCACGCAAGCUUCUCUCUAAAUGGGAAGGUCCCUAUGUUAUCGAGGAAGUAUAUUGUUCCGGUGCCAUCAAAAUCAAUAACACGGAAGGAAAUUUUCCUAGAGUGGUAAAUGGGAAAAGAAUCAAGCAUUACAUCUCUGGUACUCCCAUAAAUGUUGAGACCAAUAUCAUCAAUGUCAUAACUCCAGAGGAGUACAUAAGGGAUGUUUAUCAGCCUGUUUCAGACCCUGAAAACGAAGAGGUAUCUGUUUCGGUAAGAAAUUGGACUCUGACGCUUUCCCAAUAGGAAAUUUCCUCCGUUUUGGAUUUUUUUUGGAAAAUUAGAAAAAUAAAAAGCAGUCCAGAGAGCCACGAGGCGGCCACAAGCUUGGACACCUCCCCCUACCCCCUGGUGGCGGAGGGAGGGCUUGUGGGCACCUCGUGUGCCUCCCGGACUCCGUUUUCUUGCAGAGCACUCCUUCUGGUCCAGAAAAAUCAAUAUAUAUCCGCCCGAAGGUUUUGAUCUCCAUAUCACGCAGUUUUCCUCUGUUUUCGUUUCGAGCCUGUUUCUGUGGCUGAUCUAGAUCAUCAUGACUUCCCCCAACGCUCCUAAGGACAAGAUCUUCGAGAAGGUCAUCAAUCCCUACCUCACGGAAGUGCUGAAACACCCUCAAUCUAUCAAGAUGAGCGAGGGGAUGUUGCACAUCCGUGAUGUUGAGGGGCCUAAGAAGACCGGAAGCAUGGAGACGAGGCUCGAAGCAAUGGAGCAACAAGUCUUCAAGUGCCAGGGGAUGGUAGAGCGUGGACUCAACGCCAACCACAUGUUGAUCACACAGUUCACUAGCAAUCACAAGAUGGAUGCCAUUGACAUUGGGAAACACCUCCCCAGGCUCUAUGAUAGGGUUGAUCAACUUCAAGGCCAGAUCUAUGACCUGCAGAACCAAAAUUGUGAGUAUGAGUACAGAUUUAAAUCAAUAAGGUUGGCUGUAGAUUUGAGGAUUCCGGUGACUCGUUCAUCUUGCCAUGAUGGAGCACCUAUGCCUUGGCAGACGGAGGAUCAGACUACUCCAACAACUCCACCACCAUCACCACCGAAGGAAGACAACUAAGCAUUGGUAUGGGCAAUCCCCUUGGCUUCUGCCAAGCUUGGGGGAGUUGCCCUGGUAUCGUAUCACCUUUAUAUCUUUUGCUUUUACCUUUGUUUUAGUUCUUUCCUUUUCAGUUUUUAUUUCUUCUCUUAGAGGAAUAAGUCUUUAGUUUUUAGUUUGAGUCUUUUGCUUUUGUCUCUCCCCCGAUGUAUUCGAGCUUGUGAGCUAUAUAACAAAGAGUAUCUGAGUCAAGGGCUUUGCUUUGUGCCAUGAUCAAUAGUAUGAAAAGAACUAUAGCAUGGAAGAUCAUGAGGCGAUCUUAUGGAAAGUGAUAACUUCACUUAUGACACGUAUGAUGAUUGAAACUUGUUGAGAAUAAAUCAACACAGACCUCAGUCAUGGUUGCAACUAAUAAGAAGUAAUAAGGAAAGAGAUAUUCACAUAUAAAUAUAUAAUCUUAGACACUUUUUACAAUUGUGAGCACUCACCAAACUAUUACAUGCUUAGGAGUAGAUGUUGGACAAGGAAGACAACAUAAUGAAUUGUGAUUGCUUGGUUCCAAACAAUGUUAUAUGAUUAGAGAUCCCUUAGCAUGUGACGAUUGCUUCCACCUCAUAUUAGCCAAAACUCCUGCACCAAGUAGAGAUACUACUUGUGCAUCCAUAAACCUCCAACCCAGUUUUGCCAUGAGAGUCCACCAUACCUACCUAUGGAUUGAAUAAGAUCCUUCAAGUAAGUUGUCAUCGGUGCAAGCAAUAAAAAUUGCCCUAUAAUAUGUAUGAUCUAUUNNNNNNNNNNNNNNNNNNNNNNNNNNNNNNNNNNNNNNNNNNNNNNNNNNNNNNNNNNNNNNNNNNNNNNNNNNNNNNNNNNNNNNNNNNNNNNNNNNNNNNNNNNNNNNNNNNNNNNNNNNNNNNNNNNNNNNNNNNNNNNNNNNNNNNNNNNNNNNNNNNNNNNNNNNNNNNNNNNNNNNNNNNNNNNNNNNNNNNNNNNNNNNNNNNNNNNNNNNNNNNNNNNNNNNNNNNNNNNNNNNNNNNNNNNNNNNNNNNNNNNNNNNNNNNNNNNNNNNNNNNNNNNNNNNNNNNNNNNNNNNNNNNNNNNNNNNNNNNNNNNNNNNNNNNNNNNNNNNNNNNNNNNNNNNNNNNNNNNNNNNNNNNNNNNNNNNNNNNNNNNNNNNNNNNNNNNNNNNNNNNNNNNNNCACUAAGAGGACACACAUUCAAACCUCAAAAGCGCAUUACAACCUCUGCUUCCCUCUGCGAAGGGCCUAUCUUGUACCUUUACUUUUUGCCCUUGUAAGAGUCAUGGUGAUCUUCACCAAUUCCCUAUUUUUGCCUUUGCCUUGCCUACCUUCACAUGCUUGGGAAAGAUCUAUAUUCAUAUAUCAACUUGGAGUUGAGAACUCAUUCUUUAUUAUUGUUGAGUUUACCCUUGAGGUAAAUCGUUGGGAGGCAAAACUAUAAGCCCCUACUCUGUGUCCAGCUGAAACUUUGACACCAUGAGUACCACGUGAGUUGUAACAAUUGUGGAAAACAAAAGAGAUGAUUGAGUAUGUGGACUUGCCUUACAAGCUCUUACUUUACUCUUUCUGAUGUUGUGAUAAAUUGCAAUUGCUUCAAUGACUUUGGACUGUUGUUGGUUACUUCUCAGUAAGGUUUUUUGCUUCAUGCUUUGCUUUGUGAAGGAAUUGUUACUUUCCCAUAAGAAUCUUUAUGAUGUAUUGUUGUCGUAUGUGUGAUCAUGAUGCCCUCAUGUCCGUAUUAUGUUUUAUCGGCACCUUCGUCCCUCAACAUGUGGACAUGUUUAUGGAACUUGGUUUUCGCUUGAGGACAAGCGAGGUCUAAGCUUGGGGGAGUUGAUACGUCCAUUUUGCAUCAUGCUUUCAUGUUGAUCUUUAUUGCUUCAUGGGCUAUUAUAUUACUUUGUGGUACCAUAUUUAUGCCUUUUUCUCUCUUGUUUUGCAAGGUUUAUUUGAAGAGGGAGAAUUCAGGCAGCUGGAAUUCUGGACUGGAAAAGGAGCAAAUCUUAGUGCACUAUUCUGCACAUCUGCAAAUGCCCUGAAAAGUUACGUGGAUUUUUUUGGCAUUAUAUAAAAAAUCCUGGGCGAAAGAAGUACCGGAGGGGGGCUUCCAGGGCGCCACAAGCCGUGCCACCGCCUGUUGGAAAUAUAAUUUUUGUUUCCCAUGCGACGUUCCCCAACACCGCCACCCCCUGGUGGCGGAGGGCAAGCUUGUGGGCUCCCUGACGGCCCACUAUCCCCCCUCUUUUGCUAUAUGAAGGGUUUCGUUCCAGAAAAAAUCAACCGGGAGCUUUUUCUUGGUUUUGCCGCCGCCACGAGGUGGAACUUGAGCAGAUCCAAUCUAGAGCUCCGGCAGGACGAUCCUGCCGGGGAAACUUCCCUCCCAGAGGGGGAAAUCGUCGCCAUCAUCAUCACCAAUACUCCUCUCGUCAGAGGGGAGGCAUCUUCAUCAACAUCUUCAUCAGCACCAUCUCCUCUCCAAUCCCUAGUUCAUCUCUUGUAACCAAUCUCCGUCUCACAACUCCGAUUGGUACUUGUAAGGUUGCUAGUAGUGUUGAUUACUAUUUGUAGUUGAUGCUAGUUGGAUUACUUGGUGGAAGAGUUUAUGUUCAGAUCCUUGAUGCUAUUCAUUACACCUUUGAUCGUGAUUAUUAUUAUGCUUUAUGAGUAGUUACUUUUGUUCCUGAGGACAUGGGAUAAGUCAUGCUGAUAAUAGUCAUGUGAAUUUGAUAUUCGUUCGAUAUUUUGAUAUGCUGUAUGUUGUCUUUUUCUCUAGUGGUGUUAUGUGAACGUCGUCUACAUAACACUUCAUCGUAUUUGGGCCUAGAGGAAGGCAUUGGGGAGUAGUAAGUAGAUGAUGGGUUGCUGGAGUGACAGAAGCUUAAACCCCAGUCUAUGCGUUGCUUCGUAAGGGGCUGAUUUGGAUCCACUAGUUUAAUGCUAUGGUUAGACGUUGUCUUAAUUCUUCUUUUGUAGUUGCGAAUGCUUGUGAGAGAGGUUAAUCAUAAGUGGGAUGCUUGUCCAAGUAAGGGCAGUACCCAAGCGCCGGUCCACCCACAUAUCAAACUAUCAAAGUAACGAACGCAAAUCAUAUGAACAUGAUGAAACUAGCAUGACAGAAAUUCCCGUGUGUCCUCGGGAGCGUUUUUCCUCCUAUAAGACUUUGUUCACGCUUGUCCCUUGCUACAAAAGGGAUUGGGCCACUUGCUGCACCGUUGCUACUACUUGUUACUUGUUACUUUUUGCUUGCUAUGUUUCACCUCGCUACACAAUCACUCGUUACCGCUACUUUCAGUGUUUGCAGUUAUUACCUUCCUGAAUUCCGUUUAUCAGAGCCUUCUGCUCCUCGUUGGGUUCGACACUCUUACUUAUCAAAAGGACUAUGAUUGAUCCCCUAUACUUGUGGGUCAUCAAGGACGUCAUCGCAGGCUACGAGCCUGACAUGGAGAAGGAGGAGUUUAACUAGAUUAAUACAGUUCAUUUGAUGAAUGUAGUUAACUGGAUUUACUAAGUUUAUUAGGAAUUCAGUUAAAAGUUCAGUUAACUUAUUGAAACUAUCAACAAAUCAGGUAAAAAUUCAGUUAAGUUACUGAAUUGUCAAAAAAUGCAGUUAAUUGCCUUCAUUACGUUAACUACAUUCAUCAAAUUUAUUCAAUUAACUUGAUUAAAUAUAGUUAACUUGAUAAAUUCAGUUAACAAUGACACAAAUUUAGUUAACAUUUAAAUUCAGUGCAAGGUCAGACCAACAUAAUGCACUUCUGUACACAAAUUACAUAAAGUCAUCUAAUUAAGAGCUAGAAAUUAUGAAACACCAUUCAAUCACUCAAAUUCAUCAAGGAAUUCCUUAAGCUUCCUUAUCGUGUCCUUUGUUUCCUCCUUAUGCUUGAACAUAUCUCCAGUCAUGUACUCCAACUUCUUCUUGUCCUUCUUUAACUCACCCCUUCAUAACACCAAACUAUUGGUGUCUUCAAGGAGUUUCUUCUUCUCUUGCAUUAAGGUGUCCUUCUCAUGCUUCAUCAGGUCCCUAUCUUUCUCUGCCUUGGCCCUGAACACCUGAUGGAUGUUUGUGGUAGAUUUGUCACAUGAACUCUUCUUCUCUAGCUCUUGCUUUAGGUCACUAAGAGCAAUAUCUGUGUUGCCUAGCUGGGCCAAUAUCUCCUCUUUGUCACCAACCAUCUUAGCAAAAUCAAGCUUAAAAAACCGCAGCUCUUUCUCCAUCCUUUCCUUCUCUCUUAGGAUCCGGAAGUUUUCUUCGGCAUUAACUACAUUCUGCCACAACCUCAGACUGUUCUCAUCAUCAAACAUGACCGAGAUCCUAGCUAAACUCAUCUUCAAAGGGGCAGGUCACUCGGGAUCAAUCCACUGCACAAACGUGCACUUAGGUCCUUCCUAGCAAUUCAGACAAAAAAAAUAGGAUGUUCACAAGGAACAAAAUUUAGUAGAUUACAAUAACUAAGCAAAUUCAGUUAACUACAUUUGUUGAGUUAACUACAUGAACAAAUUUAGCUAAUUGCAUUUCUUCAGUUAACAACAUGGUAACAUUUAGUUAACUUUUUAUUGUAACAAAUUUCAGAUAAAACAACUAAAGUUAAUGCAUAAAAAACUAAAACACCUUAGGGGUACUAAAUUUAUUCAGUUCACUCAAAAGGAACAAACCUUUUUGCACAACCUAAGAAUCUCCUGCCACUAUCCAUUGACCCAAAGGCCACAAAUUUCUCACACACAGCAAGGUGUUCACAUCUAGCAGGUAGAUCUGUAGCCAACUCUAUCCCUUCCAAGCAAAAAAUAGUGGCGGGUGGCUAAACAAAAAUAGAUUGGUUCGGUAAACCCCCCAAGCUUUGACUAACCCUAGUUGCAGGAGGUUGAUGCAAACCUUACUAGUGACGAAAUCCCCGUCCGACGAGGAGCUGGAAUGGUCGUUCCAAGAAGGCAUGCCGGCGAGCACGACAUCGACGGUGACUUGCCGACGAUGAAUAAAAUAGUAACAAAGAAGGGAGUAUGCGGGGGAGAGGAGGGAGUACGCGAGGGGGAGAGACACAAACAGAUUCCAAAUUUUACAACACCAGAUUAAUUCAGCUAUUGUGUACUACGGGUAGAUUUGAGUAAAUAGCAGGGGGAAAGUGCAAAAACACAGUGAUUGAUGGUCCCAGCCACGCUGGAUCCAUUUGGAAGCUCUUGAUUGUCUUAGGACUAAACUUGCACCUCCUAUGCAAGUUCCAGGACUAGUCAGUCCACUUUCACAAGUUCUAGGACUAAACCAUCACAUGCCGCACAAGUUCUAGGACAUGCGGUGCAAUUACCUCUUUUUUCUUUCCUCCCUUCCCAUUUCUCAUGUACUCCUAGCUGAAAGCGACUCAAAAAAAUUCCUGAACAAAGAUUUCACAUAAGUUGAAUUGGACGUUAGCGCUGAGACUGCACCGAUCACAGUGAGGCGCAGGCAUGAUGGCUAGGCUUGGAUGAGAAUAACCACGAGUCGGGGACGACGUUGCGGUGGUGUCCUGGUCAAAGGGAGUUUGAUGGUUGACGGUUCGUGUGUGUGUGGUGGGGGCACACUGGAGAAAAUCCUAUGACGUCAAGGUUUAGGGAGAGCCUCUAGCCACAGGGGCNACCUGAUGUGCAAAUUUAGUCCAGAGUCAAUCAUAGCGUGCCAACUCGCGCCAGCUAGAUCGGGUGGGUCAACUCUUCUCUAUAUGCAAAGACCCCCAUGGAUUAAUGCUUAAUUAACCCGAAGUCCACCGUUGGCAACACGUGAAUUAAUUAUGUCAAGGCUAACUCCUGUAGAUCCACACGCUCAUCCAUUCAUCCCCUCCUUCCAGUGUCUUCCUGUCGGAGCAGCAGGAGCCACUGCUGUUGUCACCUCACAUGGCGUCAUCGGAGUUCUUUGCCGACGGUCGGGAGCCGCCUCCCUUAGCUCACCUAGUGCAGCCGCACUCUGUUUCCCCCUGACUAUGGUAAUUUCUACUUUGCUUUGCUCCUCCUCCCCCCGUGCUGCGCUGCCCCUCCUCGCCUCCUCACCCCGUGCUCUACUCUAUGGAUUUGUGGUAGGUUCAUGGAUUUGUUGUGUUGAGAUGUUGGUACAGUGUCUCCCUAGUAUUGAAGUUAGGUUUUUGAGCUAUGGAUUUAGGUUGGGGUUUUGUGGAGCAAAACUGUGUGUUUCUGCCUUGGAGUUAUUGCUUCCACGUGCAAGGAAUAUCUUAUCCAAAUCAGUGUCAUGGAUGUAUUCUUAGGUUUUUUUCCAUAGAUCUAGUGACAACACCUGUUGCUGUUGCUACUCAGAUUUAGUUGCUACAAAACUAAACAUUGGUAUUACAUGUGUUUCUUUAGUUAGGUGUUCAGUUCAUAACUUCAGUUAGAUGUUAAAAAUUUAGUUAGGUGUUAAAAUUGAGUUUAGUGUUAAAAAUUGAGUUUAGUGUUAAAAAUUUAGUUAGGCAUUUAUUUGGAUGAAGUAUGGUGUUUUGUGCUUAUAAUCGACCUUUAACUUAAUUUAUGGAUUAUUUGGAUGCACUGUAUGAUUCAACAAUGGGAAGAAGUGUUGAUACUCCUUUUUUACACUAGAAGUCCUGCAUGGUGGACUUCUCUUAGGAGCAGUCAAUGAAAUGGAGUACUAUAACUCUUCUGUGGAGGUGUUGGACUAUCUUGAUGUUGACACAUUUUCAUAUGCAGUACUAGAAGAGCACCUAAUAUGGUUGGGAUAUCCUUUGAAUCAACAUGUCAUCUAUUGGUGUUUAUGAGACAAACAAUUUCGGAUGGCAUGGUGAGAAUUACACGUGAUGAGGAUCUGAAGCAACUGAUCACAACUAGUGUUAAGCAUAAAGUGCUUGUAGUAAUGGUUGACCAUACAUACUUCAUCAGUAAUUUCACGCAAGAUUUGAUAUUGAAGGAACCAUUAAUUCCAAGCCCUAUCAGAGUGGCCAAUGGUACAGUUGUUGCAGCAAGUUUAACAUCUACUCACAUCAUCAUUUAUGUCAAUGUUAAAUAUCCAAUUUCUUAGGCUGCAAAAGCAGAGAAUUUGAAUGGUGUUGUAGAGAAAAAAAGUGCCUUUUGAUGUUGCAGAGACAAAUGUGCUUUCUGAUGGUGCAUCUCCAAAUUUGGUGAGUCAUGCUGCCCAGCCAAAUUUGUUGACUGACAUAGCAUAUCAAAAUUUGCAGACUGAAGAUGUGUUACUCUCAGAUACAGAUUAUAGUGAUAAUGAUUUUUAAAUGGAUGGUGGAGAUGAUUAUCUUUAUGAAGAAAACAUUGACUAUGAUGUUAAUGAAGAGGCUGAGCAAGAGGUGGAAGAGGUUGAGCGAUACUAUUUACUUGAAGAUGAAGAUCUCAACCUCUCCAUUGAAGACCAAGAGCAACUUAAGUACAAGUUCAAACUUUCAAUUCCAAGGUGGACAUGCAAUCACCUGUCUUUAACUUGGACAUGGUAUUUGCUGAUGUGGUUGAGCUAAGGAAAUCUCAUACUGCAUAUGCAAUAAGAAAAAGAGUGCAUAUCAAGAAGGUGAAGAAUGACAAGAUAAGAUUAGAGGCAGUUUGUGAGAGAGGUUUCCCAUGGCUGCUCAAGGGUGGCAAUGAUAAUAGGAUUGGAGGAUUUGUCAUCAAGGCCUACAACCCAUUGCAUAUGUGCCGGAAGAAAUGGAAGUUAAAGGAUUUGAAAGCUAAAUUCACGUGCAAGACAUUCAUUGAUGAAUUCGGAGAUGACCAAGAGAUGUCACUUGGAACAUUCACAAGUAAAAUAACUAAGGAAUUCAAUGUUACUCCUAAUGGAUGGAAGUUAGAUAGGGCUAGAACUCAAGCACUUAAUCAGAUCCAUGGUGAUGAGGAAGAGCAGUUCAAUAAGCUAUGGUAUUAUGUCCAUGACUUAAGGAGCAAGAACCCUCGGUCUACAUUUCUUCUGACAACUACACCGGUGAAAGAUAAAAAAUCUCCAUUGGUAAGGAAAUGUUUGAAAACAUUGUACUGGUCAUAUGAUGCAUGUAAGAGAGGAUGAUUAAAAGGUUGCAGGCCUAUUCUCUUUAUUGAUGGUUGUCACAUGAAAACAAGGUCCAAAGGAGUGUUUCUUAGUGCUGUUGGAAUUGAUCCAAAUGACUGCAUUUUCCCGAUUGCAAUGGGCUAGGUGGAAGUAGAAUGCAUUGCUUCUUGGGAGUGGUUUCUGACAACUCUAAGAGAUGAUGUGAACAUCAGCAACCCUGCUCCUUUCAAAGUUAUGAGUGAUAAGCACAAAGGAUUAAUACAUAUUGUGCACAAAGUUUGGCCAGAUUCAGAACACAGUUUUUGUGUGAGGCAUAUUUACCAGAAUUUUAAUGAGAAGCACAAAGGAUAGGUACUAAAGUAAGAUUUGUGGGCCAUUUCAAGAUCACCAAACAAGGUCAAAUGGAGAGAGAACUGUAAGAAAAUGGAUGACCGCUCCCCAACUACGUUCCACUAGACUGAAAGAUUAGAGGCAAAGACCUGGUGCAAGGCAUUUUUUAAGUGUUUUUUCCCAAAUGUGAUAUCCUUCUAAACAAUAACUUUGAAGUGUUUAACAACUACUUCCUUGAUGGCAGAGAGAUGACAGUUCUUAGUAUGCUUGAAUACAUCUUCUACAAGAUCAUGCACAUGAUAGUGAGUAAACAUGGAGAAUCUAUAAAAAAUGGUGAGGGUAUAGAAUAUGCCGAAAGAUAAGGAAGGAAUUAGAAAAAAACAACGAGUUUGCUGCAAACUAUCAUGUAUGAAAAGCUGGCCAACGAAUCUUCAGAGUUCAGUGUGGUAACUCUAACUACACAUUGGACAUGUGCUUGCACACAUGUGAAUUCAUGAGAUGGUAGUUGUCUCGAGUACCAUGUGGGCAUUCUACAACUUGUUGUAGAGAGGAAAGGAUUGGCCUAGAGACAAUGGUUCAUGAUUGCUAUAUAGGUUAAACAUAUCUGAAGGCAUAUGGAUACAUUGUUGUCCCUCUUGCAGACCCAAACUAGAGGGAAAUAGAAAAUAGUUACAAAGUGCAUCCACGAGUCUUCGCUAAACAGUUGGGAAGGCCCGAGAAGAACUAGAAGAAGGCACUAGAGGAGAAGCUAAAAAAUGGUGUAAGUGUCUUGAACAAAAAAGGUGUUACAAUGCACUACUCAAUCUGUGGGAGAGAUGAUCAUAACAGGAAGGGGCAUUAGAGAUGGCAAGAAGCUCACAUUGAAGAAGGGGUGGAGUUGGUUGAUGAAAACUCUGAUGACCCAAUAUUCCUACAGGUAUGUGCACAAUUCAACUACACCUUAACUAAAAGUUUAACUGAAUUUAACUGCACUUUAACUGCAGUUAACUGCACUAUAACUGUAUUUUAAUUGAUUUUGCACAACAACUACCCCAACCAGGAAGAUCCUAGGUUGGAUCCAAUUGAUUCACCAACAAGCAUGGUGUACAACAUGGCUCAUAGAGAGAUUUCUAGAUGUAGGAUCCGAAGUAUGUCUAGAGGGGGGGGGGUGAUUAGACUACUUGACAAAAUAAAAUUUAGCCUUUUCCCAAUUUUAGCCGUGGGCCAGUUUUAGCAAAUGUGACUACUCAAGUUCACCCUACACAUGCAUAUUUAAGAGUAUAUCAAUGGAAAGUAAAGACAUGCAAAUGUAAUGUAGAGGGUAAGGAAGGAAGAUCAAACACAAAGGUGGACACGACGUUUUUUGGCGUGGUUCCGAUAGGUGGUGCUACCAUACAUCCAUGUUAGUUGAGACUUCAACCCACGAAGGGUAACGGCUGCGAGAGUGCACAGAGGGCUCCAUCCACAAGGGCUCCACGAAGAAGCGGCCUUGUCUAUUCCACCAUGGCUUACGUCCACACAGGACUAGCCUCACUCACGGUAGAUCUUCACGAAGUAGGCGAUCUCCUUGCCCUUACAAACUUCUUGGUUCAACUCCACAACACAAAGUAGGAGGCUUCCAAGCGACACCUAACCAAUCUAGGAGGCACCACCAUCCAAAAGGUAAUAGAUGUGGUAUAACGAUGAACGCCUUGCUCUUGUGCUUCAAAAGAUAGUCUCCUCAACACUCAAUCACUCUCUCACAAAUUUGGCAUGGGUAGGAGAGAUUGAUUUUGUGGAAAGAAACUUGGGGAGGCUAGAGAUCAAGUUUCAAAUGGUUGUAUUGGAAUCUCUUGAUCUCAACACAUGAGUAGGUGGCUCUCUCUCAAAAAAUGGAUCUCGCAAGUGGGUGUGUGUUCUGAUUGCUUGCUCUGCGAAUGAGAGGAGGUAGAUGGGUAUAUAUAAGCAUCCCUCAAAAUCCAACUGUUACAACAUUAUUUCCCAACUCGGUGACACCGAAAUGAAUUUCGGUGGUACUGAGUUGCGCUAAAUGUGGUAACUGUUCAAUUCUCGGUGAGACCGAUAUAUAAAUCUCGAUGGUACCAAUACUAUGACCUAGAGCACUUUAGAAAUCUCGAUGAGACUGAUUCCAAUCUCGGAAAUUCCGAUUCUUGGAAUUUGCUCAACAGAAAGUUGGUCACAUGCUUUCAGUGGCACCAAUGUGAAACUUGGUGGUACCGAGAGAUUAGGGUUUGGCAAAGGAUUUGUGAGUGGAAAAAUCGGUAAGGCCGAGUGGAAAAAGUUGGUGGCACCAAUUUUACUGGUUUGGCUUGGGAGAGAGAUAUUUGUGGGAGAAAUUAGUGAAUAUUUUUGGUGGCUAUCUCUAAGCACUUGAGCAACCAAUUCAUCAUAAUACCUCACCCCCUUUUAAUAGUAUUGGAUUUCCUAUGGACUCAAAAGUGAUUUGUCACAAAUGUAAAAUGUAGAGUCCUCUUGCUUGAAGCUUGACCCAAUCCUAUUCCUUUCCUUGCAUCAUGGAGUUUCUCCUCACAAUCCUUUGUCCAAAUCGUCUUUGGAGUUUUCUGAAAUAUAAUUGGAUAAGAUCAUUAGUUCAAUGAUGCAUAUGUUGUGAUUAAUUACCAAAUCCACCUUAGGGAGCAAUUGUGCUUGCACUAGAAGAGCUCCUCAUAGGGUUCAUGGCCCACUACCAGAGCAGUCAUCCUUUGAUGUUGCUGUUGGGACUGCAAUACCCCAGCCAAGGGUGACUACAAAAAUGAAUAUUGGCACGAAGACUAUGGAAACCACAACACUUGAUAUAAGACAAGGAUCACAAGCUUCUACUAGAGGCAGAGCAAAGAAAAGGGUAAGAAAUGAAGAUGCAGGUUCAGGCAGAGGAGUAGUUAUAAAUACAAGCAGAGGAGUAGUUAGAAAUACAAGCAGAGGAAGAAAUGUAAAUUCUUGGAGAGGAAGUGGGGGAAGAAAUCCAAGUGCAACUCAGAAAGAGGAAGUGCAACAACUCUUGUAGGAAGAGGAAGAGGGAGUGCAAUAGCUCCAGCACGAAGAGGAAGAGGGGCAUACUAGCUUUUGUUUGGAGAUGACAUGAGCAGCCAAAUACCUGAUCUUAAUGCUCCUCCUGAAGAUUUGGUGGCACAUCUUCCAUGAUUUGAUUGGAGUUGUGAGUGCCAUUUUUUGUAAGGCCUACAGUGAUGUAACCUAAUGAUUGGCCUUGUUUUGGUGUCAUGCAUUGACAAAAAGUACCUAUAUUUUGUUGGGAAACAGUGUACCCUAAAUGACAGUUGUCUAAAUUUUAUGAAAAUGAGCUUCUAGUAUAGUCAGGUGAAUAUGCCCAAAAAUGAGUGAUGGUCUUACUAUGCUGUUGCAACUCAAUAAACAUCUAGAAUAUGGAGCAAUGGAAAAAAUGUUUUUCUUGGGGCUCAAACCCAAGACCUAUAGUUUGUAAGACAACGUGCAAUGCGAGUGGGAUAGGAGUAGUGAUUUGUUAGAGUACUACAUUCUUUGGUAGUUUAUCAAUGAGUGUGCAACGUUCUAUGGCACCUGUGCACCCAUGCGUUGUGAACGGUGCAGCGCAAACGUGCGUUUACCAACCAGUUGGCGUUUGGUUUUCCCACUAGUUAAGGCAUGCCCCCACCGCUCGCCCUCCCCACUCCCCACUCAUCUAUCCCAACCACCAGUGAAACCCUCAUCGACAACCAUGCCACCACCGUCGCCAUGGACGAGAGCCUCGGCUGGCAGAAGGCCAUCAAGGAGCUCGCCGGCGACCACCCAGAGAUCCACACGCAGUACACAGAGAUCGCGCUGGUUCCCAAGUGCGCAGAUGAUGAGGAACCACGCCAGUGGCCUUGUGAAGAUGAUGACGAAUGCUGAAAAACUCCGUGUGUUCCCCAACGGCCAAAACUGUUGGAGAUAUGCCCUAGAGGCAAUCAUGUAUGAUGAUAUUUCCUAUGUGUUUAUGAAUAAAGAUAGUCCUUGGACAUUGUAAGUGAUGUGUAUUAACAAGUACGUGACUUGUUUGUGAGACUAUACAUUGUAUGGUAAGUGUCCUAAAUGGUCCUUAGUUGAAAGGGUUGUGUGGACGCGCAAUCAAUCAGACUAGCAUAUGACACGGUGGAGGGUUUGGUCUCAUUGGCCAUGUAGCAUUGGAUGCUAGCCGGAUAAUAUUGACUUAAAAAUAUCUUGUCGGAUUCGGCAUAGUUAGAUCCGAGUCAAGAUAAGGUCUGAGUUGGACAACCCAACUAUGAGACGCAAUGAUAGGUCAUCUGGGAGUCUCUAGUAUAACAUACGUUCCGUGUCCUAAGACCUAAGCUGGCGCAUGUACUCGGGAUGGUGACAAACUUGGUUUGGGCCAACCUAAUGCUACAUCGUGACUAGGUAGUUACAUAGGUAGGUUUAGGGCUUGUCCAGACUCAUGCUACGAGACAUGGUCGAACAGGAUGGGAUUUGCCCCUCCAAUCAGGAGAGAUAUACUCCGGGCCCCUCGGGUGAUCUGACCUGGAUAAGCAUGGCCAUGCGAUGAGGAUUAUGAGAUAAUCCGAAUGUUGGUUGGAUUCACUAGAAUGAGAAAGAGGACGUGCUGCAACAUGGAUGACAUGUUGCCUUGCGCAUGACAACAUAUAUCUUGCGGCAAAGGGAACAUAUGUAUGAAGUACAGGUUCGCCUAACCAACCUCAUCGGACACUUAGAGUCGCCACGCUUUGCUAGAGGCCACUACCGAUUAGCCGAGUCGGAUGUGAUAUGAUUCGCGACCAAUUGAACGAGAACCUAAGGGUUCGCGCACUUAAGGGAAGGAACACAUGGGCUUUAGGGUCCGUGCAAGGCCCAAGAGUUGAGCCCGUGCCGGACGCCUAUAUAUAGUGGAGGUGAGGUACACUUAUUCAUUUGAUCGCUUCGACACCGUAAUUAGGUCAUUGCAUGUGUUGCAACUAGCCACCUCCACUCGCCGCCGCCGACUGUGUGAUCCAGACCUAGAAGUCCGCCACACGGUAUUCCUCCUGCACGCGCGGAUACCAUUAGAGGCGAUGCAGUUGUGCUUCUCCGACAAACCUGUAUGUGGGAUUCGGCGACCGAGUGUUCAAGGUGGAUCGGACGAGGAGGAGACAGACCAUGCGGAUGCGCUGCCCCAACUCUACUUCUGCUGCACGGCACCACACGUCUAGUGGUAACGAUCUGUGAUCCAUCUCCGUAGCAUGUUCUUGGUUGUUCUACGCGUAGGAAAUUUUUAAUUCGUAUGCGAUGGACCUACGGUAGAACCCAAUAAAACAUCCCUUCCGCCACGGUCCUCCUCUGGGAAAUGUGGGAGUCGCAACGGUCCCUCGACCCCGCCCAUCGCACACGAUGGUGGAUGUACCGCUCCUCGACCACACCGCUGGCCCAGCCAGAUCCUGCGCGCAUUGCAUCAAGGGCCGAUCACGUCACCGAUGCCGUGGUAACUCUCCCAGUGCCCGUCAACGCAGUGUACUAGGACCGCCUUAAUCCCGGUGUCCUCGGGCUGGACGAUGACUCCGACGACGAGUCAUCUAACGAGGAGGUGGAGGAGGUCGUCGUCCUCUCUGAUGGCGAGCCAGAGGUGCAGAUGGUCGGGCUGGUCGUUGCUGUUGCGGAGGGAGACAUGCAUCUGCCAAUUGAUGUGGAGGAGUUGCACGAUGUUUCAUAUCUACAACAAAUUGUCGUCGUCAACCAAGAGGUUCACGAGUUGCUGCUAGAAGAGGAAGGCAACAAGAAGAAGAAGGAGGGGAAGAGGACCAUCCCUCAAUAAGUGCGUCGCUCCGAGCGCCUCAAGAUUCUCAAUAAGGAGUGAAGAAGGUAAUGAAGAUCAAGAAGCUUAGGUAUGUUGUUAUAUGACAACAUAUAAGUUAGAUAAAUAGUCCACUGUAGUUGAGUAUGCUAGUAUAUAGCAACAUAUAAGUUAGAAGUAUUUUUCCAUGUAAUUAGGUGUGCUACUAUAUUAUAGCACAUAAGUUAUAUGUGCUAAUGCUCUGUUUCAUUACUAUGAAGAUAUUGCUAUGAAGAUGUCGCUGUGAACCAUUACUACUGUUGCAUUGCAUUGCAUUAUUUCAUUCUGCAUGUGGAUAGAUUGCAUGUGGAUAUAUUCCACCAUGGUGGACCACAACUAUAAGAAGAAGUAGUAGCACUAGGUGCACCUAGGCUACAUUAUUCAGUAAAGAUAACUGAAUUUUGCAUCUAGGCUGAAACAUAUUCAACAAAGUUCAGCAAAAAGCAUAAAAAUACAGUUAAGUAAAAAACACAAGAUUACUAUCAACAUUGAGUUAACUAAAACCAAAUUCAGUUCAGUUCAAACAACCAAUCAGUUAGCUGAAUAAACAUUCAAUCAUAGAAUUCAGCAAAUAAUACAAGUUACAUGAUAGAAAUUCACCUAAGUUAACAAGUUCACCAAAUAAGUCAACAUUACUAAGGUCUCAUGUGGGGACCCCGACUUAUGAGUCGAGAUCGCCGAAUGAACGUGCUCAGUGAUCCCAGAGAUCAAUGCUCACCGAACAGACAUAUGCUGAAUAAUAAGAGUCUUACAUCCAACGUACCGAAAUAAUACAACACAUGACCAAUAAGGUCAAGUUCACAAGGUAGGGCCUAAGAGGCCAAAUCACACUGAUACUACUAGUAGCGGAAAUCUCGGGGCUAAGAGGGUGCCCAUGCCGUCAGCCUACACCAACAGACAUUCUGACUGGGAAGCGUCCUAGUUCGCAGGGCCGUCUCCGAUGACGUACUCUUCUCCAAACUCCGGUCUUUCCAUGUCUGGUCAAUAAUAUAAGCAGUGGCAAGCCAGUGAGGUCUUUGAAUGUACUCGCAAACAGCCCAUGAUAUGUAAUGCAUUUGGUAGGAUAACAAAUAGAAUGCAGUAUUGGUGGAUAGUAGCUUACCUGUAAAUAAACAUGAUCAUGGAUAUGCAACAUAAGCUAGAUGGUAUUUAGAAGAACAGGUUANACACACACUUACACUUGGUUUAUGAGGAAACGACUCCACGUAGUUUAAGCACGAUUACCCAACUGUCCUUGACCGUGGACAUGGCUAUUCAAAUAGUUUUACACUCUGCAGAGGUUAUACAUUGUACCCACAAGAUCCGGGAAACUUCCGUGUCAUCCACAACUCGCGGUAUAUAACAUACCCGAGGUAAGUACCCGAUCAAUGCCUUUCCCCUGACGAUACUAGACAAAGAGAUCCACUCGAUUGGUACCCAGCCCACAUGAUGUACGUCUUACGAGCACCUACUUUGGAUAGUAUCAUCCAUGCGGGGACCAACGGUGUGCCCGGAACACGUAAAAAUGAUAUAUUCGCCCUACCUGGCACAACCCCGUCACGAGAGUGACCACACAUCACUCCCGUCACUAGUAAUGUGGCUCCUUGCUAGCACCGACCAGAGUAAUCAACAAAGCCCAGUCUCAUAAAGGGGUAAUGUGGUCGCAUAUGUAAGGUUGGGACGGUCGACACAUCAUAAAUCUAUUCCCAUUUCCGAAACCACUCACACCAAAAUAUUCCGUGCACCACUUCACCAAAAGUGGUCACCUAACUCAUCAUCACCCUCGGGCAUUAGUGGCACCCGACGGGGUUUUCAUAAACCUUUAAUUUAUACCAUCAUCAUGCUCAUGCUUCUACUAUGUGUAGCUCUAAUUGUCAACAUGAUAUUAGCGUGAUCCUCAUAGGUGGUAGGGUCAUGCUCAAAUUGAAGUGCUCCGUAGGAGCCACUGGUAACAUCAUAUCGAUGAUUUACCGAAUACUUAUGAUCACAUGCAACGGGAAUAUUUUCUGUACUAUCAUGCAAUAUAACAUAUGCUCAAACAUGGUCAAAGGGUUGCUUGCCUUGAUCAGCUAAGUAUCCGGGGUCUUCGGGGUCUUCAAGUCAAACUCCUUCGUCAAAUGUGGUUUCUAUCGUCGUAAUAAAUAAAAAGCAAUAAGUAUCUCACUAAAAACAGAUCACAAACUCAAUUUAAAAAUGUUGCUUAAUUCUGAUAAAUCCAUAUUGUUAUUUUAUAAAUAUUUGCCUCUGGUUUUAGUGAAAGGGUUAUUUUCAAAAUCACUUUAACAGAAGCAAAACUAGUCGAGAUAGCGUUUUUAAUUAUUAUAAAACAGAAAGGUUGUCUCAAAAAUUGUACAAAGGCUGUGUUAAAUACUACUCAUUUUUAGAAAAAUUAUGGUGGAAAAAUAAUAAAAAUAUAUUGGAUAACCAUUUUUAUAAAAAUCUUUUAAAAUAAGAUUAAACAGAAAAAGAAAAGAGGUUGGGGCUCAGGCCUGGCUCGGCCUGUGGCUUGGGCUAGCCUAGCUAGCCAACCACCCAGCCAGCCCAGGCGCGUGUGCGGCCAGGUUCAAACCUGACGCGCGGGCCCCUGCGGUCAGUGGUAGAGAGAAGAUAGGGGGAGAGAGAAGAGCCACCGACACGUGAGACCCACUUGUCGGGGUCGUCUUCCACCUCGGGACAGAGAGGAGGGGAGGCAUGCCGACGACGCUAACGACGUCCUCCAGCCCAACCGAAGGCAGAAAUGGAACCAACUCACCGUCGCCUACGUGCUGGUGGUCGAGGGGUCGAUGGGGAGGCCUUGGUUCACCGACGACGAGGUGGCUACGACAGAGCUGUUUCGGGAGGUUGAUGAACUAGGUGCUACGGGCGUGGAUUAGCUUAGGGAGGUGAUGGGGAAGCUCCCUCAGGUUGUUAGGAUCACAGAGGAGGUGAAAGGAGCGUCGGAUCUGGCCCGUAGCCCGAGAUCAACGGAGCUCCGAAGUGGCGGGGCCUCGGCCGAUCUCGAGCACAGGAGAUCGCUGUGCUCAAAUGGAGAGGCUAGGGGUGGAAUUUAGGCACUGGAGAGGUUGGAUGGAAGUGCUAGAGCGAGGGGAAGGCCUAUUUAUAGGCUCCCGACGGUGCAUCGAGCCGGUGGCGCCGAUGGUUUCACCGCUGCUCGCAGGAGGGGCAGUGAGUGCUUGGGGGUCGAAAUCACAGUAUGCGGACGUGGUUUAGGACCCGCGAGACCCACUGAGAGGGAGAGAGAGCGAGGAGGAGCGAGCACGCAUGGCCAUGGUCUUCUGGUUCGAUCUGGAGCGCAUGGGCACGCGUCGCUCCGGUCAACAGAGCGAGGGAGGAGGGCCCUGGGGCUGCCCUGAGACAGAGAGAUGGCUGGGGACUCGAAUAGGCAUCAGGGAGAGGCUCCAACCGGCCGGGGCUGGCCACCUUUGCUUCGGGUCCGCCUAGCAGCGUGCCCAGAGCGCAGUUUUGGCAUGCCACGUCAUGCUGGCGCGCUCUGAGGCGCUUUGGCCGUGUCUGAGGUGUCCUGGAGCAUGGCCUGAAGAUGCCCAGCCGUCUGGGAGCCGAGGGACUCACUGUUGGCCAUGGGAUGAGAGGAAAGAAGAGAUGCUAGUAUUGGACCAGAACUUAUAAUGGCGAUUUUGGGGCCUUCUGCUUGGAUUCAAAGACGGGCCACUCUCCUGCAGUUGGGGAGUGGUUCUGACUGCUUGGUCAAAGAGUUUGGAGGGAAGAGCUUAAGUGUGGAUUGGGGAAGGGGCUGAUUUUCUAAUAUGAGAGAAGGUGUCCGACAUGUGUUUGGGAUAGCAACACCUCACCACUGGUGAUGAGAGUUAACAUGAUUAACUUUGAUGAAGAAAUAAGAUACUCCACCAAAUUUGAGCCCCAUUGAACAAGUUUGGCAAUGCAAACUUGAAAUCACCCCCCAAAUGGCAGAUCUGUCCCUUCCCAAGGGAAUGUGGGUUAGAUUACCUCCUGCAAAUCCAUUUUUGGCAGAGACUCCUCAUUUGGGGUGUUGAACACUCCUGCAAAGUUUCAACCCAUUUGGAUAAACUUUGCAAUGUAGAGAUGAUUCAAUUUGGUUCUGGACAGAGAGGGUUUUAGGAUUAUUUAGUGAACCAAAUCACCUUGGAGUGAGCUUAAACUUGAUGUGUCCACUAAAUAUAACUUGGGAGGGUUGCUGGAAUUUUAUGGGAUUUUAUUGGAAAUAUUUCCUUUGGAAAUAUUCCAAAAGAUCAAAACAAAAAGAAUGGGUUUACAAGGUUUUGCUCAAACAUUUUGAAUAUAAAUAGGGGUUGAAAAUCUUAUGCAUGGAAAAAAUAUGUCCUCUGAGUAUCUCCAAAUUUUCUCAGAUUUUUCUAAGGUAGAAAACUACUUUUCCAUAUAGGAAUAUCAUUUCUGGCCUCAGAUAUGGACAUGCAGAUAAAAUAGGAAAAUAACUUGCAAAAUAAUUAUUUUAUGGUUUUGAAGAGUUAAAAUAGUUUUAUUACAAAAUCACCAUCCUUGGGUAGGAGCACUCCCUUGCUACCAAGGACUUGCAGUGCAACCCAAGGCAGGGUUUUGAAAUUGUCAAAAAUAAGAAAAGAAUUUUUGGAAUAUUUGUGUGAUGAAAAAUAAGGUUUUUGAUAUUACUUAAUCAAGCAUACAAGCAUACAAUGACAACCAUGGCACUCACAUCAUUGGUUUUUGGAAAGUUUUAAUAAACUCAGAUUUUGAAAUUACAGUGGAAGUGAGGUGAAAAAAGGGUGUGACAGACCUAUCCCCCUUACAAGAAUCUCGUCCCCGAGAUUCCUAAGCUAGGUGCUAAAAAGGUACGGAAAUUCGGAUCGGAGAUAGUCUUCACGCUCCCAUGUUGCUUCUGCUUCGGUGUGGUUGCUCCACUGAACCUUGAAGUACUUGAUGGUGCCGCUUCUGGUGCAACGCUCUGCUUCAGCCGAGAUGCAGAUCGGCCUCUCAUGAUAGGUGAGGUCUGGCUGGAGGUCGAUGGCCUCAUGAUCAAUGUCCUUAUAAAUAUCUGGACAGAUUGGCGCUUGCAGGCACUUCCGAAGUUGUGACAUGUGGAAAAUGUUGUGCACAUCCGAAAGUUCCGGAGGUAGCUCCAAUUGGUAAGCAACUUAUCCAUGCCUUGCCGUGAUCUUAAAAGGUCCAAUGAACCUUGGAGCAAGUUUCCCCAUGAUGUGGAAACACUUGGUUCCCUUUAGAGGUGUGACACGGAGGUACACCUGGUCUUCGAGGUUGAACUCCAAUUCUCUGCGGUGAGAGUCCGCAUAGCUCUUUUGUCGCGACUUGGCCGCUUUUAAGUUUUCUCGGACAAGAUGCACCGUAUCUUCUACCUCUUGCAGAACUUCUGGCCCAAAAAUCAAUCCUUCACCGGUUUCGGACCAGUUGAGCGGUGUGCAACACUUCCGUCCAGAUAACACUUCAAAUGGGGCCAUCUGGAGAAUGGACUGGUAGUUGUUGUUGUAUGAGAACUCAGGGAACGACAGACAGUCUUCCCAUUUAGUCCCAUGUGCCAAGACACAUGCACGGAGCAUAUCUUCGAGUAUCUGAUUCAGUCUCUUCGUCUGUCCGCCCAUCUACGGGUGGAAGGCGGUGCUGAAAGAGAGCUUGGUUCCGAGGGCUUCUUGGAAUUUCUUCCAUAAACUUGAGGUGAACUGCGUGCCUCGGUCAGAUAUGAUUUCCUUGGGAACUCCAUGAAGGCUCACAAUACGCUCAAUGUAGAGGCUAGCCAGCUUGUCGCCCCCAUAGGCGGUACUGAUAGGGAUGAAGUGAGACACCUUGGUCAGAUGGCCGACGAUGACCCAUAUAGAGUCAUGGCCUCUGCUGGACCUGGGUAAGCCGGUGACGAAGUCCAUGCCGACUCGUUGCCACUUCCAUUCGGGCACGUGGAGAGGUUGUAGCAGUCCAGCAGGUCGUUGGUGUUCAGCCUUGACUCGCUGGCACACGUUGCACUUGGCAAUAUAGGACGCUAUUUCCCUCUUCAUGCCAUGCCACCACAAUCUUUCCCGGAGGUCCUGAUACAUCUUGGUGCCACCGGGGUGAAUAGAGUAGGGUGUGUCAUGAGCUUCCUGUAGGAUCAAGUCCUUGAGUUCUGCCUUGUUGGGUACGCAUAAACGUUUCCCAAACCACACCACUCCUUGCUCAUUUACCGAGAAUUCUGGGGCCUUGCCUUCCUGGAUCUUCUUCUUGAUGCCUUCGAUGCUCUUGUGCCCCUUCUGGACCUCCUUGAUGUCAUCUGCCAGCAUGGGUUUGACUUCGAGGUUAGCUAGGAACCCUGGUUCAACUAUCUCCAACUCGAAGCUUUCCAUCUCUUCAUACAAGGCGGGUAGCCUUUCCUUGAGCAUGACAUUCAAGGUGCUGGCCUUCCGGCUUAAGGCAUCAACCACCACAUUGGCCUUUCCGGCGUGGUAUUGAAUGCUGAGGUUGUAGUCUUUGAUUAACUCCAACCAUCUUCGCUGCCUCACAUUCAAUUCCCUUUGAGUAAAGAUAUACUUCAGUCUUUUGUGGUGAGUGUAUAUUUCAAAUCGCUUCCCCAGAAGGUAAUGUCGCCAUGUCUUCAGGGCAUGCACUACUGCUGCCAACUCGAGAUCAUGGGUGGCAUAGUUUUCCUCGUGCGGGGGCAGUUGCCUUGAUAGAUAUGCCACGACUCUGCCAUCUUGCAUUAGGACUCCACCGAGCCCGGUUCUGGAGGCAUCACAAUAUAUCAAAAAUCCUUGCUGAUAUCUGGAGUAGCCAAUACCGGGGCGGUAGCCAAUCUCUUCUUCACCUCCUAGAAGCUUGCUUCACACUCCGGCGUCCAUUCGAACUUCUUGCCCUUCUUCAAGAGCCGAGUCAUUGGUCGAGCGAUGCGGGAGAAUCCUUCUAUGAACUUGCGAUAGUAUCCCGCGAGUCCGAGGAAGCUCCUGACUUCCUUCACAUCGAUUGGCGUCCCAAUUGGUUACCGUGGCAAUCUUGGAGGGAUCGACCGCCAAUCUGUUUGCUGUCAUGGUAUGACCCAAGAAUCCAACUUUGUGCAGCCAGAAUUAGCAUUUGCUAAACUUGGCAUAAAGUUGGUGCUCUCGAAGCUUUUCCAACACUAACCUCAAGUGUUGCUCAUGCUCUUCUUCAGAUUUGGAGAACAUUAAUAUGUCAUCGAUGAAUACGACGACAAACUUAUCCAGGUAUUCCAUGAAGACCUUGUUCAUGAGGUACAUGAAGUAUGCUGGGGCACUUGUCAACCCAAAUGACAUGACGGUGCACUCAUACAGACUGUACCGGGUACGAAUGCAGUCUUGGGUAUGUCUUCGGGUCGGAUCUUCAGUUGGUAAUAUCCAGAUCGGAGAUCGAUCUUGGAAAAUACCUUGGCUCCAUUUAACUCGUCAAACAAGUCUUCAAUCUUGGGGAGUGGGUACUUGUUCUUGAUCAUGACUUAAUUAAGAGAACGAUAAUCAACGACAGUCUUAUAGUCCCGUCCUUCUUAGACACGAAUAUAACAGGUGAUCCCUGAUUUUCAACAAGGUAUUCUCUACAAGCACUGAAAUUAUCGGUAACAGAUAGUUGUGUGAUAAGAUGAUUCGUAGCAAGUAACAAGCAACAAUAGUAACAACGGUGCAGCAAAGUGUCCCAAUCCCUUUUGUAGCAAGGGACAAGCCUGGACAAACUCUUAUAGGAGGUAAAGCGCUCCCAAGGACACAUGUGAAUUUCUGUCAAGCUAGUUUUCAUCAUGUUCAUAUGAUUCGCGUUCGCUACUUUAAUAGUUUGAUAUGUGGGUGGACCGGUGCUUGGGUGCUUCCCUUACUUGGACAAACAUCCCACUUAUGAUUAACCCAUCUCGCAAGCAUCCACAACUACGAAAGAUGAAUUAAGACAAAGUCUAACCAUAGCAUUAAACUAGUGGAUCCCAAUCAGCCCCUUAUGAAGUAACGCAUAAACUAGGGUUUAAGCUUCUGUCACUCUAGCAGCACAUCAUCUACUUACUACUUCCCAAUGCCUUUCUCUAGGCCCAAAUAACAGUGAAGUGUUAUGUAUUCAACGUUCACAUAACACCACUAGAGGAAAAACAACAUACAACGCAUCAAAAUAUCGAACGAAUACCAAAUUCACAUGACUACUUAUAGCAUGACUUAUCCCAUGUCCUCAGGAACAAAAGUGACUACUCACAAAGCAUAAUAAUAUUCAUGACCAGAGAGGUAUUGAAUAGCAUCAAGGAUCUGAUCAUAUAAUAUUCCACCGACUAAUCCAACUAGCAUCAACUACGAAGAGUAAUUAACACUACUAGCAACCUUACACGUACCAAUCGGAGUCGCGAGACGGAGAUUGGUUACAAGAGAUGAACUAGGGUUUGGAGAUGAGAUGGUGCUGAUGAAGAUGUUGAUGGUGAUGAGUCCCCUCCGAUGAGAGGAGUGUUGGUGAUGACGAUGGCGACGAUUUCCCCCUCCAGGAGGGAAGUUUCCCCGGCAGGACGACCCUGCCGGAGCUCUAGAUUGGUUGUGCUCAAGUUCCAUCUCGUGGCGGCGGCGAUUACUCUCGAAAGCCUCCUCUUGUUUUUUUGGAACGAAACCCUCCUUAUAGCAAAAAAGGGGAGCCAGAGGGCCAACAGGGAGCCCACAAGCCCCCUAGGUGCGGCCAAGGGGGUAGGCCGCGCCUAGCAGUCUUGUGGCCUCCUGGUGGCUCCUCUCUCGUACUUCUUCCGCCCAGUAUUUUUUAUAAAAUCCAAAAUAAUUCCUCGUUGAUUUUCACGGCUUUUGGAGUUGCGCAGAAUAGGUAUCUCAAACUUGCUCCUUUUUCAGACCAGAAUUCCAGCUGCCGGCAUUCUCCCUCUUCAUGUAAACCUUGCAAAAUAAGAGAGAAAAGGCAUAAGUAUUGUACUGUGAAGUGUAAUAACAGCCCAAAAAGUGAUAAAUAUCAACAUAAAAGCAUGAUGCAAAAUGGACGUAUCAACUCCCCCAAGCUUAGACUUUGCUUGUCCUCAAGCGGAAACCGAGAUCAAUAAAUUUGCCCACAUGUUUAGAGAGAGAGGUGUCAACAAAACAAGAUAUGGACAUGCAUGCAUCAUGAUCAUAAUUAGAACAACAAUACCAUCAUAUAAUCUCUCAUGCUAAAGUGACAAUUCCUUCACAAAGUAAAGUAUGGAUCAAGAACCUUAUUGAGAAUUAACAACCAAUAGCCUUUAGUCAUUGAAGCAAUUGCAAUUUAUCAUAACAUCGAAAAUAGUCAAAUAAGAGCUUGUAAAGAAAAUCCACAUACUCAAUCAUCCUUUCGUCUUCUACAAUUGCUACAACUCACGUGGUACUCAUGAGAUCAAAGUUUCAGUCGGACACAGAGAAAGAUAGGGGCUUAUAGUUUCGCCUCCCAACUAUUUACCUCAAGGGUAAUGUCAACAAUAAUAAUUCAUGAAUACUUACUUCCAAGUUGACAUAUGAAUAUAGAUCUUUCCCUAGCAUAUGACAUUAGCCAAGAUAAAGGCGAAAUAAGGAAUUGGUGUAGAUCACCAUGACUCUUUCAAGGGCAAAAAGUAAAGGUACAAGAUAGGCCCUUCGCAGAGGGAAGCAGAGGUUGUCAUGCGCUUUUGGGGUUUGGAUGUGUGUCCUCUUAGUGUGAAGGAACGUCACUUUAUAUUGCUUCCUGUGAUAAAGAACUUUAUUAUGCAGUGUGUCGCUUUUAUGUCUUCCUCAUCACAGGUUCGUACAAAGCUUAUUUUUCACACACUAAUAGAUCAUACAUAUUUAGGGAGCAAUUUGUAUUGCUUGCACCGAUGACAACUUACUUGAGGGAUCUUAUUCAAUCCAUAGGUAGGUAUGGUGGACUCUCAUGGCAAAACCGGGUUGAAGGUUUAUGGAUGCACAAGUAGUAUCUCUACUUAGUGCGGAAGUUUUGGCUAAUAUGAGGUGGAAGCAAUCGUCACAUGCUAAGGGAUCUCUAGUCAUAUAACAUUGUUUGGAACCAAGCAAACAUAAUUCAUUAUGUUGUCUUCCUUGUCCAACAUCUACUUCUAAGCAUGUAAUAGUUCAAUGAGUGUUCACAAUCAUAGAUGGUGCCCAAGAUGAUAUAUUUAUAUGUGAGCCUCUCUUUCUUUAUUACUUCCUAUUAAUUGCAGCAAUGACCAAGGUCUACGUUUGUCCACCCACAACAAGUUUCAAUCAACAUUCUUUUUAUAUGUGAAGCCAUCACUUCCCAUAAGAUCAUUACAUGAUCUUUCAUGCUUUUGUUCUUUCAUCAUUCUUUUCUUUUAGAUCAUGGCUUGAGGCAAGACCCUUAACUAAAACACUCUUUAUUAUAUGACUCACAAGCUCGAAUAUAUCGGGGGUGACACAAAGCAAAACUCAAGCCUAAAACACUAAGAACUUUAUUCUACUAGAGAAAGAUAAAACCAAAAAGGAUCAAACUAAGAAAUGGUAAAGGCAAAAUAUGUGAUGAUGAUACGUUACCAGGGAAACUCCCCCAAGCUUGGCACAAGCCAAGGGGAUUUCCCAUACCCGUGCUUAGUUGUCUUCCUUUGAAGGUGAUGGUGGUGGAGUUGUCUUGUCUUUUGAUUCCAAGUGGACCAUCAAUCUUUGAUUUAGACCCUUUAGCUCUGUGAUAUGUUUCUCCAGCAAAACAACUUCACAUAACCUCAAGAGCUCGAUCAAGGAUGGAGGUAAAAGGUGGAGGUAGGGUUGAAGAAAAUCCUCUUCCUCAGCUUCUUCCUUGUUAAGUACAUAUUCCCCUUCGUCCAACUCCGGAUUCUUCUGCUUACUUUUGCCCUUAGUUUCUUCAGGUAGCUUUUCCUUGGCCUCCAUGACCUCCAUUCUUUUCAGAUCAACAUUUACUUCUUCAUAGACUUGAGGGAGAUCGUUCUCCCCUACAGAUUCCCGAGACGACAUCUUGCUCUAAAUCUGCGGCAGAAACAAGCUCGAAACGAAAAGAGAGGAUAAUUGCGUGAUACGAGGGUGAUACGUCUCCAACGUAUCUAUAAUUUUUGAUGGUUCCAUGCUAUUAUCUUGUCAAACUUUGGAUGUUUUGUAUGCAUUUUAUAUCUUUUUUGGGACUAACUUAUUAACUCAGUGCCAAGUGCCAGUUCCUGUUUUUUCCGUGUUUUCGACCUUUUUCAGAGGAGAAUAUUAAACAGAGUCCAAAUGGAAUAAAACUUCUGAAAAGAUUUUUUCCGGAACAGAAGAUAUGUAGGGAGCUUGAGAACCAAGGCAAAGGGCCACAAGCCCCCUAGCUGCGGCCUUGGGGGCGCCUAGCAGGCUUGUGGGCCCCCUGUGGCUCCUUUGCUCUACUUCUUGCGCCUAUAAAUCCCCGAAAAAUCUGAAACCAUGGGAGGGAGCCACGAAAAUACUUUUCCGCCGCCGCAAGCUUCUGUCUCCGCAAGAUCCCAUCUGGGGCACGUUCUGGUGCCCUGCCGGAGGGGGAUCCGGACACGGAGGGCUUGUUCAUCAACGCCAUUGCCUCUCGAUGAUGCGUGAGUAGUUCACCAUAGACCUUCGGGUCCAUAGCUAGUAGCUAGAUGGCUUCUUCUCUCUCUUUGAUCUUCAAUACAAAGUUCUCCAUGAUGUUCAUGGAGAUCUAUCCGAUGUAAUCUUCUUUUGCGGUGUGUUUGUUGAGAUAUUAUGAAUUGUGGAUUUAUGAUCAGAUUAUCUAUGAAUCUUAUUUGAGUUUCUUCUGAUCUCUUAUAUGCAUGAUUUCAUAUCCUUGUAAUUCUCUUCGAGUUGUGGGUUUCGUUCGGCCAACUUGAUGAAUAAUUCUUGCAAUGGGAGAAGUGCUUGGUUUUGGGUUCAUACCGUGCGGUGACCUCACCCAGUGAUAGAAGGGGUAGCGAGGCACGCAUCAUGGUGUUCCCAUCAAGGUAAAAAGAUGGGGUUUNGCCCUACACUUUUACUUUGUUGCACUUUCAGCCUUCAGAUAUCACCAUGCAAUCAAUCGUGAAGGGAUUGACAACCCCUUUGUAGCGUUGGGUGCAAGUUUGCUGUUUUU